UGGGCACUCCCAGGCACCCCAGGCAAUUUCCCCAUCUCUGCACACUUGGCUUCUCCUUGUCCCUCACCCUCUCAGAAGUGCUAUCUCCUUGCUCCUCACUGAUUUCAACACAAGAAGAUGUGGGGACUGAUGAAUAGUUCCCAGAGAUGCCCACACCCUAAUCUUUGGAAGAGUGAAGAAGUUGUAUCGUAUGGCGAAAGGGACAUUACAAAAUAAUUAAAUUUGGAGCUGAAAUCAAUGGAAUUGAAACAAAAGAAACAAUUGAAAAAAUUGACAAACAAAACAUUGGUUUUUUUGAAAAAAUAAAUAAAACUGAUAAACACUUAGCCACACUAACGAAGAGAAGGAAAGAGAAAACUCAAAUUAUUAAAAUCCAUAAUAAAAAAGGAAAUAUCACAACGUACACUACUGAAAUAUAGAGGAUAAUUAGAAAAUAUUUUGAAAAUUUAUACUCCCAAAAUAGAAAAUAUUGAAGACAUUGACACAUUUCUAGAGUCAUAUUAUCAACCCAAACGGAAUCAGGANUUUACCACAUGCACAUCAGAUAGAGCACUAAUCUCUAGGAUAUAUAAAGAACUCAAAAAACUUAACACCCCCCAAAAAAGAUAACCCAAUCAAUAAAUGGGCCAAGGAAUUAAACAGACACUUCUCAGAAGAUAUACAAUUGAUCAACAAAUAUAUGAAAAAAAUAUUCAAUAUCUCUAGCAAUUAGAGAAAUGCAAAUCAAAACUACUCUAAGAUUUCAUCUCACUCUAGUCAGAAUUGCAGUUAUCAAGAAUACAAGAAAAAAAAAUAAGUGUUGGCAAGGAUGUGGGGGAAAAGGCCCACUUUUUUCAUUGCUGGUGGGACUGUAAAUUGGUGCAACUAGUCUGGGAAGUAGUAUGGAGAUUCCUUGGAAUGGAACCACCAUUUGACCCAGCUAUUCCACUUUUUGGUCUAUACUCAAAGGACUUAAAAACAGAAUACUACAGUGAUGCAGCUACAUCAGCACAAUCCACAAUAGCUAAGCUGUGGAACCAACCUAGAUGCUCUUUAGUAGAUGAAUGGAUAAAGAAACUGGUAUAUAUAUAUAUAUAUAUAUAUAUAUAUAUACAAUCGAAUAUUAAUCAGCAUUAAAAGAGAAUAAAAUUAUGGCAUUUGCAGGUUAAUGGAUGGAGUUGGAGAAUAUCAUGCUAAGUGAAGUAAGCCAAUCCCCCAAAAAACAAAGGCUGAAUGUUUUCUCUGAUAAGUGGAUGCUGAUCCAUAAUGGGGUGGGGAGCAUGGGAGGAAUGGAGAAUUUUGGAUAGGGGAAAGAGAAGGGAGGAGGAAUAAGGGUAAGAAAGAUGGUGGAAUCAGAUGGAUAUCAUUACUCUAGAUACACGUAUUAUGACACAAACGGGUGACUCUACUUUGCGUACAACCAGAGAAAUGAAAACAAUUGUUCUCCAUUUGUGUACUAUGAAUCAAAAUGCAUUCUGCUGUCAUGUAUAACUAAUUAGAAUAAAUGAACAAAUAAAUAAAUGUUUUAAAAAGGGACAUUAUUGAUGCAACCAAGGUGAAGAUCUGAAAAUGGGGAGAUUGUCCUGGGUGGCCCUAUCAAAUCACAGUAAAACUUCCAAGCAGAGAUCAUCCUCUGGCUGGAUUCAGAGAGAUGCUACAGGAGAGGCAGGCAGAGGGGAUGCAGCAGAGGGGACAUAAGAAGUUCCAGUGGAAGAAAGAUGAGAUGUGCUAUAUGGGGCACAUAUGAGGACAGGAGAGAGGGCUCUAGGAGCUGAAAGUGGCUCCUUUAUGACAGUCAGCCAGGAGAUAGGGACUGAAUAACCAUAUUGAACCUGGAAGCAGAUUCCUCACCAGAGCCUCCAGUGAGAAACAAAGACCUGUGACACCUUGACCCUGUGAGCCUCUUGGGGGAUUGGAACCUACAUAACUGUGAGGUCAUAAGUGGAACUUCAUAAAGCCAUUUGGCUUGUGGUAAUUUCCAUGACUUUUUAACCUCUGGAGAGACUAAGAAAACUGAUAUCCACCUCUCAGCAGGUGGACAUGACUUAGAUGAAGAACAUAAGAAAUCAUCUUGAUGAUGCCAGGAUCAAGUUCUUUGCAGUCAUAGAGAAACAGCAUGCAAAUGCACUGGGGCAGGAGCAUGUCCUUGUGGUCAUUGGAGAGUAAGUACUCUGGUGUGCCCUGAGUAGGGUCACUGAGUAGAGGCCAAUGAUGUGUUCAGAUCCUGUAGGCCUGAAAGUUGGAAUCUUUUUUCUAUGUGAGUCAGAGAGUUAAAAGGCAGCUUGAGCACAGGAGGAUCAUAAUAGAACUUCCCUUAUAAAAAGACUUGUGUUGUAGAAGGCACUAUGGAUUCUAUGAUGAGAAGACAAUGCCAAAGAGAAUCAAGAAAGGCAGUAGAAACUGCAGGGAACCAGUGUUCUGUUCCUGACUAGAGAGGCCAGUCUCAUCCUUGGUGUGCCAGUAGUGGAAAUGGUGGGGGUGAUUGGAUCCUAGAUCCUUUCUGUGGAUUGCCUUCCCAUCACUUCCUAAUGGACGGAAGCUGGGUAUAAGAAGGAAGAAUCAGUGGUGCACCCCUUAUAUCAGACUCAAAAAGAGAAGGAUGGAGUUGCCCUCAGUGGAGCAGCAGAGGACUCUGGAAAGGGCAUAUGAGAGAAGGGACAUGGUAGGCACUCAGUGUAGACAUUGAACUGAGAUCUAUCCUGGAAACGCAGGUGAGGUUGGCACAUUGGCAGUGGGAUAGAGGGCAUCUCCAUCCUUCUCCUUAGUCCAGCCUACUGAUCUGGGAUAUUUGGUCGGUGGACAGGAUUGAGUGUUUUGUAACAAGCCCACCAGCCAUCCUGGUGCUCAGCCAGAGAGGGACCACUGAGGGCAGUGAUCGGUGUCAGAGUGGGAGGGGUCUUAAAUCCACAUUUAAAUGUGUUUUUCUCUUGAGGAGAAAAGGGAUGCAUAUUGUCAAUGACAAGACAUAAUGUUGAAAGAUCAUGUUGUUCUCUCUCCAAUGGGUACAGCUAGGUGGAAGAUGCAGGUGGUGAAGAAUAUCUCUAUGCUGCUCUCUGAAACUGUGCCCAGACCCAUUUCUUACUUCUUGGAGCAAAGAAUGGGAUCCAUGUUUUUAUGACUUAAAUAUUUAAGUCUUAUACAGAACAAGGAAUCAAAGAUGGCAGAAUAGAGGAAGGCUGUACUUUCCAGUUGCUCCACAGCUCAGAAUAGAAGCAGCAGGAGUGCUGUGUUUCACUGAGGUGGGUGCUUGAGGGAAUUCACUAAAGUUCAAUAUUAGACAGCAAGAGACCCAGAAAUGCAGGUAUUUUGAAUAAAGCAAGAAAGAGUACAUUGGAGCCAAGCUAAGGAGAAGCCAUUCAAAUGAGGCAAGGGGUCAGGUUUCAGGGGGUUGAGUCUAGCUUCCUUAUGUCUGCUGUCAUCAGGUUGACUGACAUCUAGGAAGUCCACACCAAAGGCAGAGCAAGAGAAGGGGACACACAAAGUGUUUCCAUAGAACAUUCUAUCCCUAAUAGGGCAAAGGGAUAAUAUCACAAAAGAACAGGUGAGCCUAGCUCAGUCCAUGGGGCGACACAUCUACAUCUGAAGAUGCGUCCUCAAACUUCUAGGACUGGGGCAAUGUCCGGGUCACUAUGAGAUGUAGUGAUGGUCAAAGCCUCUCCGCUCUGGGACAGAGAACACGAAUCAUUCAAAGUGACUUCCCACAAGUGUUGCUAAGCAAAUAAAAAAUAGAAUCAAAUUAAACAUUAGAAAUCAAUCAAAAUGGCAAGAAUUCAUACAUAUCUAUCUUCUCUUUAUAGGAAUUUAAGUGGUCACAUCAUCAAUUGAAAUAUGGAUGCUGUCACAAAGUGUUAAAAAAAUAAGACCUCAUUGUAUGGUGUUUGUAUGACCCUUGACACAGGCAAAAGUAUUCAAAGGCUGAAGUGAAAGAAUGGAAAAUUAUAUUCCAUGUAAACAGAACCCUAAAGUAAGUAGGACUAGCUACUCAUAUCCGACUGAGUAGACUUCAAGCCAAAAUUACUCAGAAGAGAAAAUCUAUACUGGUAAAGAGAACAAUCCAAAACCAAGAGAAAACAGAGUAAAUAUUUAUACUCUAAGUGUCAGUGCACCUAAUUACAUAUAAUAGAUACUGCUUGACCUAAACACUCAGAUAGACCGCCGCAUUAUAAUAAUACUAGGUGUUUUCAACACAAUUUUCACAUAGAUAGGGCAUUCAGGUAUAAACUCAUAAAAGAUUCUUCAGGCCUAAAAAUUUAUUCAUAUGUACCCCACAGAUAUCUUUAGAAUAUUUCAGCCAACAACAACCAAAUUCACGUUACUUUUAGCUGCUCAUGGAAGCUUCUCCAAAAUGGAUCAUAUAUUGCAUCAAAUAACAAGUCUUAGCAAAUAAAAUAAUAAUUAUUUUCAUCUUAUCAGAUCAUAAUGUAAUCAAUACAAAUCCACAGCAAUAAAAACUAUAGAAACUAUAUAAACACACUGAGAUUGAGCAAUACACUUUGGACAUUUUAACAAGUGAUAGAAAAUAUCAGGGGAGAACUUUUAAAAAUCUUUACAUCAACGGAAAAGAAAUAUAUCACAAUCUCUAGGAGACUAAGAAGGCAGCUGUCAGAGGAAAGUUUAUAACUAUGAGUAUCAACAUUAAAAAAUCCCAAAUAAGGAAUCUCUACAUUGAAAAUUAACAACACUGAGGAAAAAUAUUGAGAAGCCAGUAAAAGAUGAAAAGCUUUCCCAUGUUCAUGGACACACAGAAUUAGUAUUGCUAAAAUGGCCAUAUUACAAAAAGCAAUCUACUGAUUCAAUGCAGUUCCCAUCAAAAUUCAAUUACAUUAUCCAUGGCAAACAAACAAACAAACAAAAAACUCCCACAAAAACAGUCCCAAAAAUAUUCUAAGAAAAAAAUUCUGGAAGCAUCACAAUACCUGUCUUCAAAUUAUACUCCAAAGCUAUAGUAACAAAAACUGCAUGGUACUGAAAUAAGAAUAGAUGCAUAGAUCAAUGCAACAGAAUAGAAUACAGAGAGACAAAUCCAGACAGAUGUUGUCUGUCAUCUGAUCUUUGACAAAGGCAUCAAAAACAUACAUGAAAGAAAUAACAGCCUUUUAAAAAAUUGGUGUUGGGAAAAACGAAUAUCCAAGGUAGAAGAAUGAAACUACAUUUCAAUAUCUCACCCAGUUGGAAAGUCAAUGUGAAAUGGAAAUAAUACCCAGGAAUUACAAGAAAAACUUUGAAAUUGCUAGAAGAAAGCAGGGUAAAACUCUUCCACAUAAGCAAAGAGAAUGACUUUGUCUUUAGGAUUCCUAGAGCUCAGGACAUAAUACCAAGAAUUAAUAAAAUAUAUGACAUCAAAGUAAGAAGGUUCUGAACAGCAAAGGAAAUUAUUCAGACCAUGAAAAGAGAGCCUACAGAAUGAGAGAAAAUCUUUGCCAGAUACUCUUCCAACAAGAUAAUACUCAGAAUAUAUAAAGAAAUCAAAAAACACAAAAACUAAAAAAAAUCAAUAAAUCAUUAAAUGAGCCAGGCUUGGUGGUACAAGACAGUAAUCCCAUGGCUCUGAUGCUGAGGCAGGAUUGUGAGUUCAAACACAGCCUCAGCAACUUAUCAAGCUCCUAAGCAACACAGUGAGACCCUGUCUGUAAAUAAAAUAUUUUAAAACGGUUGGGGAUGAGGCUCAGUGCUUAAGUGUCUCUGGGUUCAAUCCCUGGUACCACCCCCCCAAAAGCUAAGUGAACCAAAUAAAUAUUUCUCAAAGGAAGAAAUACAAAUGGCUUUUAAAAAUGUUCAACAUUUUUGCUACAGGGAUUUGCAUUCAGGGAAAUAAAAAUCAAUUCUACACUGAAAUCUUGUCUUAAUCUAGUAAGAAUGAUAGUCAUCAAGAAUACAAAUAAUAAUAAUACUGAUGAGGUUGUGGAAAAAAGAUUUAUUCAGUGUCAGUGGGACUGAAAAUUAGUACAACCACUACGGAAAUCAGUAUGGAGGCUGAUUCAAAAGUCCAGAAAUGGAACCAACAUAAUACUCAGUUAUGCUACUCUUUAUGAUUUAUCCAAAAGAAUUAAAGGGAGUAUACUAUAGUAACACAUGCAUAUCACUGUUCAUUACAGCACAAUUCACAAUAGACAAAUUAUGGAGCCACGCUAGAUGCCUGCCAACAGAUGAAUGGAUGAAGAAAAAGUGGUAUAUACACAAAAUGGUGUUUUAUCAGCCACAAAGAAGAAUGAAUUAUGCCAUUUGCAGGGGAAUGAAUGGAACUUGAGAAGUUUGUUAAGUCAAAAUGCCACACUCAGAAGGGAUGGGAAAGUAAUGGAAUUAGAAUGGAGACCAGUAGAGGAAAGUGACUAGUGGGAGAGUGGAGGUAAGAGAAUGAUGAGUUACUAAGAAAUGAAAUUGACCAAAUUAAAUUGUGCACAUAUAUGAAUAUGUUGUAAUAAGGAAUACCACUCAUUGUUUAACUGUACAUUUUUAAAAUGAAAUUUUAAAAUGAUAAAGAUUGCAUUCAGAAAAAUGCAAGUCAAAACUGUCAUAUAUAUAUACAAGUACAAAUGCAAAAUGCUGAAAGCUAAUUUCAUUUUGAGGAGGGCCACAGAGAUUACUGCUCUCCAGACCCAUUUCCCUCAUUCCAUUGUGGGAUAGUGGUUCAAUUUGCCUUCAAUAGUCAGCAUCCAUCAUUUCAGCCAGCACAGUAACUCUGUUGAUUGGCUGUUGGUUUGGCCUAACUUUCAGUUCAAUGUGUCUUGUGGUGGCAGUAUUCCUGCCUGUGGAUGUUAAACCUCAAGCCAGCAAAACACAAAGGUACUGGUACAGGAAGCAUAAAUUUUGCCAGUAAGUCCUUAGAGGCAAGAGAGCAUGUGGCCACUUCAUUUCCAAUUUGAUUCCUGGCCUGAGAGAAAUAGCACUAUAUAUUGAACAAUGAUUCAGAACAUAUUCAGGCUUAUGGAGAACCUUGACCUUGCCUUGCAAGGUAGUGCAGGCUUGUUAGCACUGUAACUGACUUCAAAAAGCCCUUCCACCAUUCUACCAAGACACCUGCUUCAGGAUGGUGGGGAGCAUGGUAAGACAUUCAUGAGCACCAACCCAUUGCUUUACUUCUUUGGAUAUGAAGUAACUUCCUUGAUCAGAAGCAAUGCCAUGUGGAACAUCACGAUGAUGCCAAAGGUAUUCUAUAACCCACAGACAAAAUUUUGGCAAAAGCAUCGCCUGUAGGGAAGGUAAAUCCAUAGAGGGUAAUUGUCUAUUCCAACAAGAAGAAAACACUGCUGCUUCAGGGAUGGUAGCUGUCCAGUGUAAUUGACUUGCCACAGAUAGCUUCUAUUCACCAAGGGAAAUGGUAUUCCAUAUGGGGAUUCAGAGUUGUUCCUGCUGCUGGCAGACUGACUACAACCAACUUGGCCUUGGCAAGCAAAAGUAAGUCCUUGUUGCUGUGCUCGUGCAAAACCUCCAGCCAUGGUACCAUGACCGCAUAUAUCAGCAGCCCAUUGGGCAAUAGGAAGAGUGGCUGGGGAAAGAGGAUGUCUGGAAUCUAUAAAAUUAUGUACCCCGUCCACUUCACUGUUAAAAUCUUCCUCUACUGAAUUCACCCGUUUCUUCAAAGUUCCUUGUUACUAAAUUACUAUAAUAUUCCUUCCAAGAUCUUGACAUCCAUUAGCAAAUCCAUUGGUCACAUAAAUUGAUAUAUAAUUACACAUUUGGCCUUUUUCUCUAGAAGACAAGUUAACAGCCAGCUCUCCUGCUUCCAAUUCUGCCCACUGGGAGGGUGCCAUCCAUCAGGGUCAUUCAGGGAUGUCCCAGGAACAGAAUGCAGUAUGGCAGCUGUACACUUGUGCAUGCUGUCUGCAUAUCAUGUAGAACCAUCUGUCAAUCAGGACCAUGAUUUCUCUUUCUCUGUCACUUGGGCAUAGGGAUAUGAGACCAAAGGUACAGAUUGGGAGAGGAGGUAGUAGAGCAGCAGUGAUAGGCAUGGAUGUCUGGGGUACUUCUUCAUGUAUUUGACUUCUGCCUUCAGAGCCUGCUCAGGCCUGAACUCAUAUACACCGUGAGCUUGUAACACUGGAAUGCUCCUAUGUACACACAAGUUUACAACUUGUUGAGUCAGAUAAAUGUAGCACAUGAUGGACAGCUCAGAUCAUAUGGUAACUUGGUUGCCAAGGUUAACUGUUCAGUUUCAGUGGCAGAGGCUGCUAGUGGAAAGCCAACUUCAAUUUCUCAAAUGGAAAGAAGUUACCUGGGGAUAUAGCAGGGUUUUGCCUCAACAUCUUAGGGACCUGCACAUCAAUUCACAUAGUGGGGCUGAUAGAGGUUCUAGACAGCAUUCCUACCUGCCACUGGCACAGCAGCCUGCAGCUAUUGUAGAGCUUUCUAUUGUUCUGAGCCCAACUCAAAAGUAGGAGCUUUUCAGAUCACUCCGUAAAUGGCCUAGAGUAGCACCGCCACAUGAAUAAUGUUCUGCCUCCAAAAUUCAGAGACCUACUAGGCAUUGUGCCUCCUUGAUAUUUAUAGGAGGGGCCAGAUGCAAUGACUCCUCCCUCACUUUAGAAGGAAUAUCUUUCCAUUACUCCUAACAUUGGAUUUCUCUUUUAAUGAGAUAGAAGACCCUAAAUUUUGUCAAAUAUAUUUUUCCCUUGUAACAUGCAAGUGUCUUACUACUUCUCAGUCCCUAGAUCCAAUCAGCAUAAUGUUAUCAAUACAACAGAAAAUCAUGGCUUCUUCUGAAAGGGAAAGCCAUUAAAACCCUAAUAGGUUAGAGAGUUUGUGCCUAUAAAUCAACCAACUCAGGAAGCUAAGGCAGGAGGAUUGCAAGUUCAAGGUGAGCCUGGGUAACACAGCAAAACUCGAUGUCAAGAAAAAGAUUCUUCUGAACCAAAUUAUGACACAGGUCUUAGGAUAUCUUCUGGAAUGAGAUAGCAAAUGUGCCCUCUUCACUAAAGUAUCUCUGAAAGCAAAGAAGAAAACUCCUGUUCUUCCCAAAGCCAAAGUCAAGACUUUGAAGACCAGGAAAGCAGAACUGAAAGGCAUCCAGAGAUUCAAAACAAAUAAAUACAAGGGUUGAGGGUGUAGCUUAGAGGUAGAAUGCAGGCUUAGUAUGUGGAAAGCCUGGGUUUAAUCCCUAGCAGCACCAAGAAAGAAAGAUCCACCCAUGACCCAUCUUCCAAUGGACCCUUCAUUGCUGCUCUGGAGGUAGCCCAAAUAUCCUGUCUGAGGUACAUGCUCAACUGCUCCUAAUUGUGUUGCUUUGGAUGUUGCCAACAGAAUGUGGGUCAUUUAAACUCCAUCCAGCUGGAUAAUUCUAAAUACAAUUUUUUUUUCAUCAUAGAGGAGAGAGAGAGAGAGAGAGAGAGAGAGAGAGAGAGAGAGAGAGAGAGAGAAUGAAUGUAUCUUCUGUCCUUGAGAGCUAAAGACAAACUGCUAAUGUAGGCAUUAUGGACGACAAUGGAGAUAAAGCCAUUUUCCAAUCAGGUGUGGUGGUAUGCACCUGUAAUUCUAGAAAUUCAUGAGGUUUGAGGCCAGCCUCAACAACUUAGCGAUCCCUUGUGUCAAAAUAAAAAAUAAAAAGGGCUGGGCAUGUAGCUCAUUGGUAAAUAGUCCUUGGGUUGGUUAUUUAGCAUCCCCCCCCCCAAAAAAAAGGUGUUUUCUAGGUUAAUAGCUGCAUAUCAGUUUCCAGGGGAUGUGUUAUUUUGCUCAAGCAAUAAAACCACAUCUGACAUAGUAGUUGCGAUUGGAGGGUGCUCCUUGUUAAGAUUACAACAAUCCACUGUGAUUCUUCAAAUUCCUCUUUCUGCAGCAGAAGUCAGACAGUUGAGUUGAAUGGGGUUGGGGUAGCAAUCACCACCCCUGUAUUUUUUAGAUCCUUGUUGGUAGCACUAAUCUUUGCAGUCUAUCCAGGAGUGCAGUAUUAUUUGCUUAGGUAGAGGCAUUUCAAGCAGCUUCUGCUAGAAGGUGGUGCCUUCCCACCACAACAGCCCCCAUUCUAACAUCAAUAUGUAAACCUGGAGACCUUGCCUGUUGCUGAAAUGGUUUAUUGCAUUAUGCAUUUAGGAACUGUGGGAUAACCACAGAAUGGGUUAACAUUUUGGUCCACUUUGAAAAGAAACUGAGCUAAAACUCCAUUGAUUUUCUGAUCUCCAUAAGUUCCUGUUUGGACCAGGGAGCCAUAGUGAUAUUUGGUGUCUCUGGAAACGAGUGUUAAUUUAGAGUCAAUGUCCAAUAAUAAAAUAUUUGAUUAUUUCCUUUUCCCCAAUGCACAGUUUCCCUACUAAUAGCACAUAGGGUCCCUUGAUGAAGGCUGGGAGUAAGAUGAACUGUAGGAAUUUUCAGUAGUGCAUUGAAAGGAAUCCUUCCUCAAGGAAGCUGACUUCCCUUCAUUCCAGGGUUCUGUGUGUGUAAACUGGCUCAAGUCUGGCAGAUGAUGGAGGGAUUGUGUCUGUGUUCUUAUGAACCAAGGUAGAUGUGUGUUCAUUUGUCCUAGAAAUGUUUAGUUUAUAUACAUGAAGUAAGAAAUAAGUAGGCUUUGUAACUGUUUCACUUCUAGGAAUAUCAGGACAAGUGAUAUAAAGCUAAUGCCAUCAGGGCACCAGCCACACUACUCUGACUGUUGCUAUGGCUGGUGUCCAUUACAGAAGCCACAUUCACCUUAAGGCCUUUGGCUACUGAGUGCCACCACUUGUCGACCUUAGAAUCCAAUUAUGCUCAUUAUAUUUAAGUUUUCACAUUCAGAGACUGCAGUUUGUACUGUGCACUUCUGGCCUCAUGGAAGCAAGGAGGUCACAAAUACUCCAAGAUUCCACUUAUAAAGUGUCUAAAGCAGUCACACUCUUAGAAUCUGCAAACAGAAUGCUGGUUGCCAGGGCAGAGGAUGGGGAGGUUUUGUUGAAAGGACAUAGUUUCCAUUUUGCAAGAUGGAUAAAUACUAAAGAUCUGAUAUACACCAUGUGCUUAUAGUUUAAGAGUAUGUUAUUAUCUAUUUAAAUAUGAUUUUAAUCAUGGGUAGAGUGGUGCCCACCUGUAAUCCCAGUGACUUGGGAUGCUAAGGCAGAAGGAUUGCAAGUUCAAAGUCAACCUCAACAUCUUAAGGAGACCCUGUCUCAAAACAAAAAGACUACAGAUGUUUCUCAGUGGUAAAGCAUCCCUGAGUUGAAUCCCCAGUACCCAGUACUGCCCCCCAAAAUCAUUUCAAUAGUUAACUUGGAGUUGCUGCAAUAAAAAAGUGAAUCCUGAUACUAAUUUAGUUGUGUGUGUGCUUGCAUGUUUGCUCCUCAGGAUAGAGCCCAGGGAUGCUCUCACUGAUUAUAUCCCCAGCCCACUGCCUCUCACUGUUUUCUUUUUUUUUAAAUAUUUUUUUAGUUGUUGGUUGACUUUAUUGCCUUUAUUUUUAUAUGGUGCUGAGGAUCGAACCCAGGGCCUCACACAUGCUAGGCGAGCACGCUACCACUGAGCCACAAGCCCAGCCCUCUCCCUGGUUUUUGAGACAGAAUUACACUACUUACCCAGCUUAGCUUCAAAAUUGUGAUCCUCCUACCCUAGCCUCCCAAGUAGCUGGUAUCAUGUUUCUGCUCCAGAUACAGAAGCCUAGUCCAGAUGCAAGUAUGUCAGAAGGGCCUAGGAUGGAUAUUAAUUUCCAAGAAGAUAAAAUAAAAAUAAGAAACAAAAAUUAACAAAGUCAGAACAUUUUUGAGUCAUAUAAAUAGCAACAUUACCAAUGUUAAAUUAUUAAGAGGAGCACAAAAAAUAAUCAAAAGAAAAACAAAGGUGAUUAUUAACUCCCAAGGAUUGUUAUACCAGGAGUGAAAUGAUGUACCAGAAGUGGAAAGUAUGGAAGUUUAUAUAUGAGAGUGAUUGUCAUGGAAACAAAAGUGGAAUAUCUGAGCUGAACAUAAUUUACAGAUGAAAACAUUGGAAGACGGAGGAAGGGAAGGAGUAAGAGAGAGCAAUUACUACUGACUUCUGCAACAGAUCCUGCAAAGGAAAAAACCAGCAGCCUUAAAAAGGCUUUGUAUUUAGGGUUACAGAGGCAAAAGUUGAGGGCUGGGGAUGCAGCUCAUGGUAAUGCGUUUGCCCAGAAUGUGUUAGCCCGGAGUUCAAUCUCUAGUAAAAACAACAAUAACAACAACAACAACAAAAGAAUCAGCUAAAACAUUGAAAGUUGUAGUACCAAAGAAGGUAGAAAAUCAAGAAGAGACAAAGAGGGUCUUUACUUUUCAUGAAAAAUCUUACAUAAAUAGUUCACUCUUUAAUUAGAAAAAACUAACUUGAAUUAAUUUUUUUUGAGAGAGAGAGAAAGAGAGAGAGAAUUUUUUAAUAUUUAUUUUUUAGUUUUCGGUGAACACAACAUCUUUAUUUGUAUGUGGUGCUGAGGAUCGAACCCAGCGCCUCAUGCAUGCCAGGUGAGCACGCUACCGCUUGAGCCACAUCCCCAGCCCUAAAAUUUUAAAAAGUUUAUGCAAAAUGAAAACUCAGAACAAUAAAUAAUAAUUCAGAAUAAGCAAAUACAAUACUUAAAUACUAAAAUUAAAAUAUGAACGAUGAUGUCAACAAACACACCUCUGGAUAAUAGUGUAUGAGGGUCUCAGUAUGGCGCACACACCUGCAAUUCCAGCUACUCAGGAGGCUGAGGCCAGAUUGAAAGUGUGAGUUCAACCUGGGCACAGUACUGAGAUCAUUUCUCAAAAAGCGAAAAUCGCUGAGGAUGUACCUCUGGGGUAGACUGCUUGUCUGGCAUGUGAUAGCCUUGGAUUCAAUCCUCAAUACCAACAAAUUUAAAAAAUAUAUAUGUGCAUGAAUAAAUUACCUAUCGAGCUUCCCAAUUGUUCCCUUAGGAAGCACAGGCACAAGCAAGGUCCCUCACCAGGCUCUUGCUUCCAGGUGGGUCCUGAACCUAUUCUUGCUGAAGACAGAGGGUGCCCACCCCUGUUGAGUCUCUGGGCCAGGUGCACCUGGAGACUGCAAGACUAGGAAUCAGGAACAACUAAGAUGCAGGAGAGAUCUAGGAGAGGAGGUGGUGAGGAUGAAUAGCGGGGGCAUUUUCUUCUCUCACAGAGACUCUGAAUCUGAUUUUGGAGACUCUGAGAAGAGAAAUGUCCCUAGGGAUAAAAAGUCAUAUUCUUCAAAAUGGAGUGUCUUCUUCCCCACCACUCUGCAUGCUUCAGCUGGACCAAAGGUGGCCAAUGCUGGUGUCUGAUUCACACACAUUCUGGGUCGCUUACUCUCAACAUCUUAGUCCAUAAGCACCUGCCAGUCAUUUUUUUUCCCCCAGGCCAACUGACCCCUAUUGCUCAGCAUAAGGACACCUCAAAGUUCCAACCCUGUCCUGUCCAUCAAUGUGAUCCUCCAGUUCAUCACACUAGGGCUCCAACUCUUCAGGGCAGAUGUGCUCCACAGCAUCAUCCUGGAAGCUUGACACAAGCUGCAAGGUGCUGUUAUGGUUCCUCUUCACCAUCUGCUGAUGAUUCAGGACUUGUGAGCUCCUGAGCUAAGGGAGAAGAUAAAAGUCAGUGUUCAAAUGACUGCAGAAUAUGACAUUUAUUCCUCAGGACCUCUCCUUUCUCAGACUCUCCAAAAUCAGAUUCAGAGUUUGAGUGAGAGAAGAAAAUGCCCCCACUAGUUUUCCUCACCAGCCUCCUCUCCUAAAUCUACCAGCAGCCUCACCUGCCUCAGUUUCCACCAUGCAUCACUCAAGGGAAUGAAAGACCAAAGAAGUAAGAGACAAGAUCCCAAAGUGAAGCCCAGUGCCUCUCCUCUGCCCAACCAUUCCUGACAGAAUAGGGACCUGCCAUAGAAGAAAGUUCCUGCUCCUGCCAAUCCUGGGCACAGGGUUCACACAUAGGCCUUUACCCCUUUAAUAUCCAAGGCCUCCUCUGCUGCAGGGGCAGGUGCUCACCAAGCAGGGUCUGCUCCAGCUGCAGCUCAGCAUCCUUUCCUCUCAGCCCUGAGCCAGAAGCUCCUAACUGGAAAGCCCACCAGGAAGCCCAGGGGCACCAGCAGGCCCAGCCAGGAAAACAUGCCUCCCCUCUGGUCUGCUGCUCACCUGACCUGAAGCAGCCCACACACAGCAGAAUCCCUGACCCCCAACACUUACUCAGGUCCCUAAUCUGUACUUUACCCUCCUAGGGCCUACCUGGCCCAUCUGCCCCAGGAAAUCAGCUACUCUCCAAGGGGUUCUGCUUCCUGAGACUGCCUCACCUUUUUCCCCCCAUCCGUAGCAGGGACUCACACAGGCCACAACCUUGGAGGUGUAGCUCAGUGGUAGAGCACCCCUGGGUAAAUCCUCACUACUUCUAAAAGAAGAAGAAGGGAAAAAAGAUGAGCUGAAAAUGGAAAUAUUUUUAUUGGGUAUGAACAUUUAGAGAAGAAAUUUGGAAAUAUGAACAUCUGAUCUCCACUCUUUUCUACAAAUGUUCCAGUGAAAUUGCAGGCUGUGGGGAGCCACUCUGAAUGAACACACCUUCAAGUCCUGACACAGGGGGCUCUGACCAAUUACUACAUUUCUUAGUGACUUUCAUAUUGUCCCAGCUGAGAUAGCAAGGCAUGGCUUCAGGUGUAGGUGUACCGCUGGGAUUGAGUUAUACUCACCUGCUGCCUUCUGCCUUUUUUGGAUAGAACUUUCUCAAAAACAGCAUCCCCCCAAAUAAAAGCCCACUUCUGAAUGUGCUUGUCCUCUCUCUCGCCAGCCUCUGUGACUUUCUCUUGCUCUCCUUUUGGGGAACUUGAGGCCGGGAGCUGGGGAAAGUUGUCCUGAAGCUUGUGUAAAGGUAUUUCGUGUCUGUGCUUUAUUUUGCGUCACCCCAAAUUCACACGAGUGACCUUAGUUCACCGCCUGUGCUGGACAGGGGUGGCAGUAGGCAACUAUUUUUCCCCACAGAGAACCAGAACUAGCUUUCACCCUACAGCAGAGGCUGCAGGUGAGAGCAGCAGAGAGCACUGAACCAUCUGCCCUGGAGGGAGAGUUACCUGGACAGCUCCUGCUGGGGGGCAGGUUUCCCAGACCCAAGGGGCCAAACACUCACUACCCCCACUGCUGACCCCACAGAAGGGGCAGAAACAACAGAAAGAUCCUCCAAACCAGUAACUAACUAACUUUGUUUCCUGCUGAAACACCAACUUCCUGUUUUCUCUUUUCCUGACCCUCCAGCAACCUGAUUGGUGACAGGGGAAUGGUUUUGACCAUCCCUUACUCCAAAUGCACAGGGGAAUGACCAUCUUAUAAAGGGGAAUAGCCAAGGGAGGGCAGGGUGAGCAGAGGCCAUAGAGCACAGACUCAACACACCAACACACACAGUCCUUGGGGAGCGUGCCCUCUGGGGCUGGAAGGAAACCCUAAGUGUCACAGUCAGCUUUCACUACUUUGACAAAACACCUAAAGUAAAACACUCGGGAGGAAAAAUUUACACUGGCUCAAGUUUCGCCAGUUUCAUCCCAGGGUCCCUUGGCCCCAUUCCUGUGGGCUAGAAAGGCAGAAAAUAAUGAUGGCCAGCACAUGACAGAGUGAUACUUCUCACCUCAUGGUGGUCAUGUGGUGGCCAGGAAGCAGAGAAAGAGAGAGCCAGGAACCUGGGACAAGAUGUUCCCUUCAAGGAAUGCCUCUUCCAACUAGGCCCACCUGCUAAAGCUUGCACACCUUCCAGUAGGACCAACACCUGGGGCCAAGCCUGCAACUCAUGAGCCUUUGGGAGAUAUUCCACAUGGAAACUCUAACACCAGGUAGAACAAAAACGGACUACAGCUGCCCACAGUGGCUGGUCUCUCUCCCCAGAUGGUCGGAGGCAUCUGCUUUUUCAUUUUUCCAUAACAUCUGUGAAGCCACUCCUGAUGGACGACCAUUGUGGUGGGGCCUGGGAUGGAGUACAUGCCCUAGUGACCCAGUGGACACACACAGGAGACAUCCCUGAGGAGUGACUGGAGAUGCUGAUAAGAUAGAAGAUAACUACAUGUGCUGAAGACCCCUGGGCCUGCUCUACAUGGGCCUCCCAGGGCACUGGUGCCACAGGCCUCAAGGUUCUUCUUAUUGGUUUGCACAGGACAGGUGGAAAGACAGGAAAGAGGCAGGCAGACAGGAAGAAACCAGAGGCAAUAGCCUUUGUGGGAUUUCUCUAGAGUUUCUAAAGAACACAAAUCACAGAUCCUUUUAUACUUUGUCCGCCUGAUACCGUGAUAAUCUAGCCCAUGCAAAUCAGCCCACCAUUCCCAACUCCUGGUCAAGACCUAAAAGCUUGAUACAGAGAGAGAUGAGGACAGGGACAGAGCAGGAGAAAACCACACUGAAGCUCACCCCUAACCCUGUGACAAGAAUAUGGUGCAGCUGGGCCUUUGAGGAUGUUCACGGCCCUUGGCUUUUGGCAGGACUAAGGGGAGUACCUGGAGACCUGGCUGCCGGCCCCUCACAAAAAAAGACACAUCUAUCCCUGUUCCAGAAGUCUGGUCACCUCCACUGCACUCUGUGCAGCAUGAGGCAUGAGGGACCCUACAACCCAGAAUGACCCUGCCAUCUCCAUCCACUGCCCACUUUUCUUACCUGAACCCUCUGCGGCUGAAAUUGUCUCCCUCCUGUUGCUCCAAAGCACAUAAAGGAGAAGAAGAAGAAGAACAGCAUCAACAGCAGCAACCACACCUAGAGAGGCUCGCCAUCGGCUUUGAAGCAGCAGGGUCGGCCCCUAAAACACACAUGUUACCAUCUGGGUUCCCGAGCUUCUAGACUUCCUCCCUCUCACCACCCUGGUCACUGACCUACCCAGUUGGGAACCCCUGCUGGGACACCCAGGCUCACCACAGGGCACAGUGCCAGUGCUCUCUUUCCCACUAUGUCGCACAUGGCAGGUAAAUCUCUGCUCCUGUCCUUGAGGAAUCCUGGUGGACACGCAGGUCUGGUAGGUCCCAUUCCCAUAUGGUAAAAGACUCCCAGAUUGCUGUGUGUCCUGGUUCAGGGGUUCCCCAUCCUGAAGCCAAGUCAGAGAGAUAAUCCAGGGAUAGAACCCAAAAGCCCAACAUGUGGCGUUGAUGGUGUCCUCCAAGGCCUCACCGCAGAUAACAGUCACUACUGGGGACACUAGAGAAGAAAAAGCAGAACCAGUCAGCCAUGUGAUCCAGCCUUACUCCCCUUAAUGGAGGCAGAGGGAACAGGGCUGGUUCUUUCUGCUGUAGUGUCUCUGACCAAAGUCCUCACUGACACUAGACUGCUGCAAAUCUGCUCUCAGCCGAGGGCCUCAGUCCUCUGACUGGCAGGAGGAUGAGCCUCGGGUUUGUGGCCUCACAUUCUCACUUACACAUGUUGAUGUGAGGAGGGGGUGUUAUGGGGAUUCCUUGUUUGUGAGGCCACAAGGGAGCUCUGCAUGAUAAGCAGGUUGGCAGGCAGGUGGGAAGAAGAGGUCUCAACUCCUGCCUAACCCCAGUUGCCUGAGGCUCAGGGUACUUCCUGGUUGUGGCCCAGACAGUCAUAGAUUGCCAAACCCUCCUGUCUUUAUGCAGUGGUUUAAAAGGAUGGGGAAAUCAGAAUACAUCACCCUCACAGAGAACACACGCAUCCCAUAGUACAGAGAAGGCCCCUUAUAUUGAGGCUCUAGGGGAAUGGGGGCUGGGGUACCUAUUGUCUUAUUGAAGGCUAUCCAGGAGUUCAGAUAUCUCUGGAGUCUUCCACCAAUUGUUCCUUGCACAUGGGCCCAUUGAGCCUUGCUUGGACUAUCAUCUGAUUUCCAGUGCUUCUUGACUUCCAUAGCCAAAGUCUGAGCCGAGGAAGGGUGCACUGUCCAGCUGUGAGUCACAGGGUGAAAGGAGAGGAAGGGCUCCUAAUCAUAGUAGAAAUCCCAGAAGCCCCUGGUGCGGUUGUUCUUUUGCAUCUCACAGCCCCAAGACUCCUGGAGGGAAUGAGACCCUGCCCCCAUCCACCAGUCACUUUAGCAUCCCCUGGUGCCUCUGCCUCCCUUCCCACCAAGAGAAACUCCAGCCCACAGAGGAUCCCAGCAUGGCUCUCUCUCUCUUCAAUGUCCCUGUGCUGAGCUCUAUGGACCCCAUGCUUGCCCUUCCCAGACAAAUGCAGUGAGAAGAGAGGUCCCUGCUCUCUGCCCCCAGCCUUUCUGCAGAAAGACCCUUGCCCCCACCUACACUCACCUUCUUUCUGCCUCUGCAGACUGAUAAUAUCUGCCAGAGUCAUUCUGAGGUUUUUCCCACUCCCUGCCAAGUCUUGGGUCUCUGUGUUCCAGGUCUCGGCUCUCAGGAUUGUCUUUGCCCACAGUGCCUCAUUCACAAUCCCACUACCUCAUUCACACCAAAGGAAUGGGAAUCCAAAUUCCCUGGAUUCCCUGCACUGUGUGUCCACUGUCAUAGUGCAGGAAGGGCUUAUCAUCCAAAAGACCCUCAGAAAAGAACUGUCGUGCACUAAAUGGUUCUGGGAUCUCAUUUUUAGGUUAUAACGAAAACUGUGGGACCCUGAGGAAGAAGAUACCAGGGAUGAUUUUUUUCUUCCUGGAAUCAAGAGCUCAAGAACAUGCAAAACAUAGUUUUGGCCUCCUGGUGACAUAACUAAAAGCAAAAAUAGACCAUUGGAAUAACAUCAACCUAAAAUAUUCCUGCCUAGCAGAGAAGACAAUUUAUAGAGUGAAGAGACAACCCCUGGACUGGAAGAAAACAAUCAUAGGUCAGAUAAUGGUUUAAUACACAAAAUAUACAAAUAACCUUAUAUUUAACAUGGGUAAAGACGUUGAAGAGACAUCUGUCAAAAUAUGAUACAUAAUUGGCCAACAGAUAUGUGAAUGAAUGCAAAUGCCAAUUAAAACCAAAAGGAACUAUUUUUUCACACUUAUUAGAUUGGUCAUUGUGAAGACACAAAGAGUGUUGGGAAGGAGGUAGAAAAAGGGGUGUGCACCACUGGUGUUGCAAUUUAGUAGAGUUAUUUUGGAGAAUAGCAUGGAGGUUCCUCCCAAAACUAAAAUUUUUGCUUUAUCCAGCAAUCCCACUACCUCAUUCACACCAAAGGAAUGGGAAUCCAGAUUCCCUGGAUUCCCUGCACUGUGUGUCCACUGCAGCAUCAGUCACAACAGUCAAGAUAUAGCAGCAACCUAAGUGUCCACAAAUAGAUGAGUGGAUUUAAAAACUGUCUUAAGCCACCUGGUGCACACCUAAAAUCCCAGCUACUCAGAAAGCUGACACAAGAGGAUUGCUUGAGCCUGGAGUUGGAGGCCACCCUGGGAAAAACAGCAGCCCACCCUCAAAAAGAACCCCCUCGCCAAAAACCAAACCAAACCAAACCAAAUCAUUAUGGGAUAUACACACAAAAGAAUAUCAAUUAGCCUUUUUAACAAAAGGAAAUUAAGGAUGAAAAUGUAGCUUAGGGAUAGAGGACUUGCCUAGCAGUCACAAGGCCUCAGAUUUUAUCACCAGAAACUUCUUAAAAAAAAAAAAAAAAGCUAGGGAAAUUUGUCAUUUGUGACAAUGUGGGUGGAAAGUAGAGGCCCAUAAGAGAAAUUAAAAAAAAAAAAAAAAAAAAAAACAGGCAUACAGAGACAAAUGAAUGGACAGAGAAAGGAGAGACACUGGUAAAAGGCCACAAAGUUUCAUUUGGAUAAGAGGAAGAGUCUGGUGUUCUAUAGCACAACAAAGCUUCUCCACUUAAUGCUGUAUAUUUUAAAAUAACAAGAAGAAAAGAUUUUAAAUGUUCUGACCAAAAGGAAACCAUAAAUAUUUGAGGUGAUGGAUAUGCUAAUUACCCCAAAUUGAUUAUUCUAAAAUGCAUCCAUAACAUUACAUCCCAGAAAUAGAUUCAACUAUUUGUCAACAGAAAAAUUUUUGGAGAGGAAAUCGAACUAAACAUCAUUAAAAAAAAAAAAAAGUUGGGGCUCUGGAAAGUUUGGGUGAGGUAGAGAGGCAGCAGUGGAUAAAACUUCUUGUAGGAAAUGGCCCCUAAGAAUAGGAGGAAAGGACUGGGGUUGGGGAGACAGGGUAUCUAGUGUGCAGGAAGCACAGACCUAGGAUGCAGUGUCUACCUUAGAAAUGGGUCUGAAAACACAGCAGGAGUGGGGGAGGUGAGGGGAAGCCAACAGGCUGAGGAGACAUGUUGGGUGACAGGGAAGGAGGCAUAGAGAUCUGGUGAAAACACAGGCAUAUUAGAAAAUAGAUAGCAUAUUAGGGUGAGAGGAGUACAAGGGGGGACAGCAUCCCAGGGCGCAGGAGUCCAGGGGACAAUGUGGGUGGAAAUUAAAAAAGCCCCAGCAAGAAGAUCUUGACUCAGCAAUCUUAGCUGUUCACUUCCCUCAGUCUGAGUGUUUGAUGCAGCCACAGUCCUCACAGAGGCAGGAAGGGCUCUAUGGGGCUGGGACGUCCCUACUAGCUCAGGGCCAGAAGAAAAAAGGUCUCCUAACUGGGGACUCCUGUGAGCUCAGCUGAAAACAAGCCUAUGACUGCGAGGAAAGCAGGGGCUUCAGGAGCCCGAACUGUCCGUAAUACUGUUGGGAAGAGGUUCCGUGAGCCGCGGACCUCAAAGGGUCCUUCAAUGUUUUUCAAAGGAGAAACUCAGCAUGCACCUCGGGAAUCCAGAGGCGACAGAGGACCGGGAUGUCCAAAAGGGAAGAGCAAGGCGCAGGGCUGGGGCAAGUAAGCAUGGAUUUAGGACGCAGGACGUAGGGGUGGCAAGGUGCUUAGAAAGCGAAACUGCAUGUGGUGGCAAUGACCCGCGUCAGGUCCAGCUCCUCUCCCCACCAAACCAGACCGCUCAUCUUAACCGGGAGGGUUCCCUCGGACUCUCACAGAAACCCGCCCGCCUCCCUGCAGUAGCCGGGCAGCUCCUGCACCUCCAGGAACCACAUAGAGCUCACUCACCAGCGGCAGCACACAGGGGUGCCCAAAAGGCAGUUGUGGCCAGGAGCAGCAGGACGCGACACAGCCCAAUAGAGACCAAACUUGACAUCCUCUUAUCUGGUGAGCAGGAUGGAACUCUAAGAGGGUUCCCCGAAGGCAGAUCAUAUAUAGUUCUCCUGGCCCCUCCCACAUCCACUCACCCAAUGAAAAUAGACGCCUUGAACAUGAAUGCAGAUCUUCAGCCUACACUUGACCAGGACAGGUCUUCCAAGUGUCACCACUCCAGCAUAAAAAACUAUAUUCAUUUCACUUUGUCACCUCUAAAAAAUGUUUUCUAAAAAACGAACUAUAGCUAUUCUUACUAUUGCCUAAGGCUCUAGCUUGUGCUUUUUCUGUGAGUGGAAAUGUCAUGCACCAACAAAGUUUUGACAAUUUCUUAGACUUAUUUUCAUUUGUAGUAAGUAUUUGAUUGAGAUUUUUUUUUUUUUUUUAAAGCACAGAAGGCACUGGCGUCCAGUCCCAUUCUGAGUUUAUUUUCAUUAGUUACAGGGGCGGGGAUGAUGUUAAGUUGGAGAUCCCUCGCUUUCCUGGUUCAUCAGCUGAUAGGUGGCAUAAAGUGGACACCUCUGCCUCCAUAAUCAAGUAAACAAGUCCUCAUAAUAAAUCCCCUCUUAUUGACCCCCACUUGCUUCUGGUUGAUUCUGUUUCUCUGGAAAACAUUGACUAAUAUAAGCCUCCAGUAAGUGCUGGGUCACAGUUAUUGUGAGCUGAUCCCAAGCCCUUUCAAUCUCUAUGUUUUCUAUGCAUCUUUGAGGACUCACUUGGAGUGACAGCUCCAACAAACUGUCUCAUUCCACCCAUAUUCAAAGACUUUUCUUACCUUAAUAAUUACAUGCUAGGAUUAUUCCAGAGCAUUUACAUAUGGCUCAAGGGAGAAGAAGCCUCAGAGGAGGCCCUGAAGGUCUUGGGCUCCAGAUGUUGGGCAGUGCCCAGGAUCAAAGCCUGGCUGCCCCUCCCCCAGCAAGCCUCCCAGAUUCUCAUCUGUGCAAGAUACUGCUACCUUGUCCCUCCCCCUUCAGACUCUUCUGCUCUGCCCAAUGAACUACUGCUUCUCUCCCCCUCUCUUCUUUGCAUCUCUGAAUUCAUAAGAACGGGAGCGACUUACUCCUCACCCACCUUAGGAUUCACUGCUGAGUCCUGAAAAGCAACAGAAAUCACUCAGUGGUGUCCUUUAAACCCAGGGCGGGUCUCACGCACUAUUUCAGGUCUUUGUGGCCACAUUUACCCAGAAGGACUGAAGAUCACCUGUUACCCACACUGGCUUAACUAAAAUAAAACCUGUUGAUUGAUGUACAAGCAGAUUGAAGGUGCUUAUGGGAGUCUGGAGGAAGGCAAGCUGCAUUUGGGUUUGGGGUUCUCAGACUGCUAGGCAGAUACACCUGCGAGCUGUGAGAAUGUAGACCCAGUGGCUGGCGGAAGGACGUUCUGAAGUGUUAAUCAAGAUCUGAAACCCAGCAUACUUCAGCCAACAUUGCCUGUAUUUUGAUGCGGUUGGGUACUGAAAUGCUUUUUCCAUCCCAUCCCCCACUUCCACAGGGAGAGCAGGUGGGGGGGCAUCUUGGGUUCUAGGAUCAGAAACACUCCUCUGCUUGGUGGCCCACCAAGAAUGUAAGUGCCUACCUCAGGAUGGUCCUAAUUGAAACCUGCCAGAUCUGGAAUAAAAAUCAACAAUCAUGUUGCAGUGAGGCCACCCAGCGCCCACCACUUAUACAAGCUGGGUGAGGAGCCCUGAUUUAUCAGGUCUGUCUCAAGUGGAUGCAGUGAAGUGCCUUUGGCUCCAGAUUCCAAACCAUAAAGGAUGAAAUGGAGAGUGAAGAAAAGCAAAUGGUGGUGGAACGUGGAUCAUGCGUUGAAGAAAGAAAGAAAAAGGGGUGAGGAUUGGGGAAAAUAACAUGAAUAUAGGAAGAAGAAGCAAGGACAAAGCAGGAAAGAGCAAGAGAUGCAGAACUGAGGGGACUGCAGGCUCUGCUCUCUUCUGCCUUCCCCUAGGAUUGGGCUCUGCUGUCCACUUAAGACCCCAGAGGAGGACCAAGACUCUACAACACCCACUGCAGAGAAAGCUACAGUUUUUCUACAUUGAUUAUAUUUAAAACCAAACUAGAUCCAAUGUAAAACAAAUGAAAGAAAUGAAAUACAAUAAUAUUCUGAUGUUUUUCCAUGAUUAAAAAUCCAACAGAUUUUUAAAAUAUCAUCUUUAAAGUGUAUUUGGCAGUCCAGAGUGUAUCUCAGUGGUAGAGUACCUGCUUGGCUUGUGCCAAGCUAUGGAAAGCAACAAACAUGAGACAAAAACAAAAUACCCACCAAAUGUUUCAAACAUGGAGACUCUUCCUACUAUUCAGAGCAAGUAUUUACAAAACUCUUUGAUUUUAUUUCUUGCGCUAUAGGAGUCUUAUUAAGGAAGUUGAGGCCUAAUCCAACAUGNAACUUCUUAAAAAAAAAAAAAAAAAGCUAGGGAAAUUUGUCAUUUGUGACAAUGUGGGUGGAAAGUAGAGGCCCAUAAGAGAAAUAAAAAAAAAAAAAAAAAAACAAAAAAACAGGCAUACAGAGACAAAUGAAUGGACAGAGAAAGGAGAGACACUGGUAAAAGGCCACAAAGUUUCAUUUGGAUAAGAGGAAGAGUCUGGUGUUCUAUAGCACAACAAAGCUUCUCCACUUAAUGCUGUAUAUUUUAAAAUAACAAGAAGAAAAGAUUUUAAAUGUUCUGACCAAAAGGAAACCAUAAAUAUUUGAGGUGAUGGAUAUGCUAAUUACCCCAAAUUGAUUAUUCUAAAAUGCAUCCAUAACAUUACAUCCCAGAAAUAGAUUCAACUAUUUGUCAACAGAAAAAUUUUUGGAGAGGAAAUCAAACUAAACAUCAUUAAAAAAAAAAAAAAGUUGGGGCUCUGGAAAGUUUGGGUGAGGUAGAGAGGCAGCAGUGGAUAAAACUUCUUGUAGGAAAUGGCCCCUAAGAAUAGGAGGAAAGGACUGGGGUUGGGGAGACAGGGUAUCUAGUGUGCAGGAAGCACAGACCUAGGAUGCAGUGUCUACCUUAGAAAUGGGUCUGAAAACACAGCAGGAGUGGGGGAGGUGAGGGGAAGCCAACAGGCUGAGGAGACAUGUUGGGUGACAGGGAAGGAGGCAUAGAGAUCUGGUGAAAACACAGGCAUAUUAGAAAAUAGAUAGCAUAUUAGGGUGAGAGGAGUACAAGGGGGGACAGCAUCCCAGGGCGCAGGAGUCCAGGGGACAAUGUGGGUGGAAAUUAAAAAAGCCCCAGCAAGAAGAUCUUGACUCAGCAAUCUUAGCUGUUCACUUCCCUCAGUCUGAGUGUUUGAUGCAGCCACAGUCCUCACAGAGGCAGGAAGGGCUCUAUGGGGCUGGGACGUCCCUACUAGCUCAGGGCCAGAAGAAAAAAGGUCUCCUAACUGGGGACUCCUGUGAGCUCAGCUGAAAACAAGCCUAUGACUGCGAGGAAAGCAGGGGCUUCAGGAGCCCGAACUGUCCGUAAUACUGUUGGGAAGAGGUUCCGUGAGCCGCGGACCUCAAAGGGUCCUUCAAUGUUUUUCAAAGGAGAAACUCAGCAUGCACCUCGGGAAUCCAGAGGCGACAGAGGACCGGGAUGUCCAAAAGGGAAGAGCAAGGCGCAGGGCUGGGGCAAGUAAGCAUGGAUUUAGGACGCAGGACGUAGGGGUGGCAAGGUGCUUAGAAAGCGAAACUGCAUGUGGUGGCAAUGACCCGCGUCAGGUCCAGCUCCUCUCCCCACCAAACCAGACCGCUCAUCUUAACCGGGAGGGUUCCCUCGGACUCUCACAGAAACCCGCCCGCCUCCCUGCAGUAGCCGGGCAGCUCCUGCACCUCCAGGAACCACAUAGAGCUCACUCACCAGCGGCAGCACACAGGGGUGCCCAAAAGGCAGUUGUGGCCAGGAGCAGCAGGACGCGACACAGCCCAAUAGAGACCAAACUUGACAUCCUCUUAUCUGGUGAGCAGGAUGGACCUCUAAGAGGGUUCCCCGAAGGCAGAUCAUAUAUAGUUCUCCUGGCCCCUCCCACAUCCACUCACCCAAUGAAAAUAGACGCCUUGAACAUGAAUGCAGAUCUUCAGCCUACACUUGACCAGGACAGGUCUUCCAAGUGUCACCACUCCAGCAUAAAAAACUAUAUUCAUUUCACUUUGUCACCUCUAAAAAAUGUUUUCUAAAAAACGAACUAUAGCUAUUCUUACUAUUGCCUAAGGCUCUAGCUUGUGCUUUUUCUGUGAGUGGAAAUGUCAUGCACCAACAAAGUUUUGACAAUUUCUUAGACUUAUUUUCAUUUGUAGUAAGUAUUUGAUUGAGAUUUUUUUUUUUUUUAAAGCACAGAAGGCACUGGCGUCCAGUCCCAUUCUGAGUUUAUUUUCAUUAGUUACAGGGGCGGGGAUGAUGUUAAGUUGGAGAUCCCUCGCUUUCCUGGUUCAUCAGCUGAUAGGUGGCAUAAAGUGGACACCUCUGCCUCCAUAAUCAAGUAAACAAGUCCUCAUAAUAAAUCCCCUCUUAUUGACCCCCACUUGCUUCUGGUUGAUUCUGUUUCUCUGGAAAACAUUGACUAAUAUAAGCCUCCAGUAAGUGCUGGGUCACAGUUAUUGUGAGCUGAUCCCAAGCCCUUUCAAUCUCUAUGUUUUCUAUGCAUCUUUGAGGACUCACUUGGAGUGACAGCUCCAACAAACUGUCUCAUUCCACCCAUAUUCAAAGACUUUUCUUACCUUAAUAAUUACAUGCUAGGAUUAUUCCAGAGCAUUUACAUAUGGCUCAAGGGAGAAGAAGCCUCAGAGGAGGCCCUGAAGGUCUUGGGCUCCAGAUGUUGGGCAGUGCCCAGGAUCAAAGCCUGGCUGCCCCUCCCCCAGCAAGCCUCCCAGAUUCUCAUCUGUGCAAGAUACUGCUACCUUGUCCCUCCCCCUUCAGACUCUUCUGCUCUGCCCAAUGAACUACUGCUUCUCUCCCCCUCUCUUCUUUGCAUCUCUGAAUUCAUAAGAACGGGAGCGACUUACUCCUCACCCACCUUAGGAUUCACUGCUGAGUCCUGAAAAGCAACAGAAAUCACUCAGUGGUGUCCUUUAAACCCAGGGCGGGUCUCACGCACUAUUUCAGGUCUUUGUGGCCACAUUUACCCAGAAGGACUGAAGAUCACCUGUUACCCACACUGGCUUAACUAAAAUAAAACCUGUUGAUUGAUGUACAAGCAGAUUGAAGGUGCUUAUGGGAGUCUGGAGGAAGGCAAGCUGCAUUUGGGUUUGGGGUUCUCAGACUGCUAGGCAGAUACACCUGCGAGCUGUGAGAAUGCAGACCCAGUGGCUGGCAGAAGGACGUUCUGAAGUGUUAAUCAAGAUCUGAAACCCAGCAUACUUCAGCCAACAUUGCCUGUAUUUUGAUGCGGUUGGGUACUGAAAUGCUUUUUCCAUCCCAUCCCCCACUUCCACAGGGAGAGCAGGUGGGGGGGCAUCUUGGGUUCUAGGAUCAGAAACACUCCUCUGCUUGGUGGCCCACCAAGAAUGUAAGUGCCUACCUCAGGAUGGUCCUAAUUGAAACCUGCCAGAUCUGGAAUAAAAAUCAACAAUCAUGUUGCAGUGAGGCCACCCAGCGCCCACCACUUAUACAAGCUGGGUGAGGAGCCCUGCUUUAUCAGGUCUGUCUCAAGUGGAUGCAGUGAAGUGCCUUUGGCUCCAGAUUCCAAACCAUAAAGGAUGAAAUGGAGAGUGAAGAAAAGCAAAUGGUGGUGGAACGUGGAUCAUGUGUUGAAGAAAGAAAGAAAAAGGGGUGAGGAUUGGGGAAAAUAACAUGAAUAUAGGAAGAAGAAGCAAGGACAAAGCAGGAAAGAGCAAGAGAUGCAGAACUGAGGGGACUGCAGGCUCUGCUCUCUUCUGCCUUCCCCUAGGAUUGGGCUCUGCUGUCCACUUAAGACCCCAGAGGAGGACCAAGACUCUACAACACCCACUGCAGAGAAAGCUACAGUUUUUCUACAUUGAUUAUAUUUAAAACCAAACUAGAUCCAAUGUAAAACAAAUGAAAGAAAUGAAAUACAAUAAUAUUCUGAUGUUUUUCCAUGAUUAAAAAUCCAACAGAUUUUUAAAAUAUCAUCUUUAAAGUGUAUUUGGCAGUCCAGAGUGUAUCUCAGUGGUAGAGUACCUGCUUGGCUUGUGCCAAGCUAUGGAAAGCAACAAACAUGAGACAAAAACAAAAUACCCACCAAAUGUUUCAAACAUGGAGACUCUUCCUACUAUUCAGAGCAAGUAUUUACAAAACUCUUUGAUUUUAUUUCUUGCGCUAUAGGAGUCUUAUUAAGGAAGUUGAGGCCUAAUCCAACAUGAUGGAGAUUAGGGCCUACUUUUUCUUCUAUUAGAUGUAGAGUCUCUGGUUUAAUUUAUAGGUCCUUGAUCCACUUUGUGUUGAGUUUUGUGCAUGGUGAGAGAUAGGGGUUUAAUUUCAUUUUUUUGCAUAUGGAUUUCUAGUUUUCCCAGCACCAUUUGUUGAAGAUGCUAUCUUUUCUCCAAUGCAUGUUUUUGGCACCUUUGUCUAAUAUAAGAUAAUUGUAAUUUUGUGGGUUAGUCUCUGUGUCCUCUAUUCUGUACCAUUGGUCUACCAGUCUGUUUUGGUGCCAAUACCAUGCUGUUUUUGUUACUAUUGCUCUAUAGUAUAGCUUAAGGUCUGGUAUAGUGAUGCCACCUAAUUCACUUUUAGGCCCAAAUUUCUUAAUAAGACUCCUAUAGUGCAAGAAUUAAAGCCAAGAUUCAACAAACGGAAUGGAAUCAAACUAAAAAGUUUCUUCUCAGCAAAAGAAACAAUCUGUAAGGUGAACAGAGAGCCUACAUCCUGGGAGCAAAUUUUCACCCCUCAUACAUCAGACAGAGCCCUAAUCUCUAGGGUAUAUAAAGAACUCAAAAAUCUAAGCACCAAAAAAACAAAUAACCCAAUCAACAAAUGGGCCAAGGACCUGAAUAGAUACUUCUCAGAAGAGGAUUUUUAAUCAAUCAACAAAUAUGUUGAAUAUGUCAUCACCUCUAGCAAUUAGAGAAAUGCAAAUCAAAACUACUCUAAGAUAUCAUCUCACUCCAGUCAAAAUGGCAGCUAUUAUGAAGACAAACAACAAUAAGUGUUGGCAAGGAUGUAGGAAAAAAGGUACACUCAUACAUUGCUGGUGGGACUGCAAAUUGGUACAGCCAAUAUGGAAAGCAGUAUGAAGAUUCCUUGUAAAUCUGGGAAUGGAACCACCAUUUGACCUAGCUAUCCCUCUCCUCCAUCUAUACCCAAUAGACUUAAAAACAGCACACUACAGGGACACAGCCACAUCAAUGUUUAUAGCAGCAUAAUUCACAAUAGCUAAACUGUGGAGCCAACUUAUAUGCCCUUCAGUGGAUGAAUGGAUAAAAAAAAUGUGGCAUAUAUACACAAUGGAAUUUUAUUCAUCAAUAAAAGAGAACAAAAUCAUGGCAUUUGCAGGUAAAUGGAUGAUGUUGGAGAAGAUAAUGCUAAGUGAAGUUAGCCAAUCCCCAAAAAACAAAUGACUAAUGUUUUCUCUUAUAUAAGGAGGCUGACUCAUAGUGGGUAGGGAGGGGGAGCAUGGGAGGAAUAGAUUGAAUUCUAGAUAGGACAGAGGGAUGGGAGGGAAAUGGAGGGGCAGUGGAAUAGCAAGGAUUUUGGAAUGUGAAUCAUUAUUCACAGUACAUGUAUAAAGACAGGAAUUGGUAUCAAUAUACUUUAUAUACAACCAGAGAUAUGAAAAUUGUGCUGUAUAUGUGCAAUUAGAAUUGUAAUGUAUUCUGCUGUUUUUUUUUUUGAAAAAUCAAGUUAAUCAAGUUUGACUUCAAAUUAAGUAUCUGAUGUCAUCAAAAUACAAUAAAUGAAUCAAAUAAAUGAUUGACAAUACUAAACUAUAAUAAUAUAUCUCUUUCUUUCUUGAAAUAGCCAGAACUAGAGCAAGUCUAAUCAGUACCAUAAUGAGUAUAACAAGAGCGUUGAGCUCCCUGCAAUACUGCAAUGAGCUGUAUAAACAGCUGUGAACUUAAGGUCAAAUAGGAGAUAUGGAUGCUUCGACCCUGAUUUUCUGCUACUGUUCCUAAGUGGGAACAGAAAAUGCCAAUUUCUACAGCAGGCAAAUGUGUAUUUUAUUAUUUUUAACUUUCAGUUUUGCACUCUGCUUACUUUCAUCUUUUAUUGACAUUUUAAAAGAGCUGUUUUCUCUAACCCCCAUAUCUAAAUAUAGGGCUGUUUUUGUAAUGACAGCACCUGUCAGUAUAAGUUUCAGAUAGCCUGGCCUUUUAAAUACAGAUGUGUCAGGAUCUAUGAAUAAAGGGUUUGCUUUAUUCAUUUAUUCAUUCAUUACAUAGCCAAAGUACAAAUUUUGAAGAGAAAUUAUCUAUUGAGCCACACUUUAUCUAAAAUAAAAUGUAUCUAUUUGAAAUGUACAGUUCAUUCAAUUUGGGCACUGACAUACACUUGUGUCACCACCACCAUAAAGAAGAUGAAGAAUAUUCUGAUUAUCCCCCAAAGAAACGUUGUGCAAUAAAAUUCUAUGCAGCCAUCAAAAAGAAUAAGUUUUAAUGCACUGCUGUAAAAAGAGGUGCCCAAAAGAGGUGCCCAACAGUUUUGAGCUUUUUUUUUUUUUAGGUUAGGAAAAUGCUAGAUUUUAAUGCCACUAGUGCAAUUACAUAAUGUACAUUUUUUAAUAGUGGGGAAACCUGGAAGAUUUUGCCCCAAAUUUUGACAGUGUUACUUCUAGGAACAGGUAAAACUCAGUGUCUGUCACUUUCUCUGAAAUGUUGGAAUUGUGUCUUCUCAUAUAAACUUGGUUUAGCAAGGUGUCAGAAUAUUACAGAUUGAAAAUACAAUAAGCUAAACCCCAGAUUCAAAUACUAAUUUUUUAAACCAAAAUAUUAAUUACAGUCCAUCACCAGGAAAUCCCUUAAGAUAAGCCUUCAUAUUUUCAUAGCUUUGAAUCUUCCCCAAACUGCUUUUAAAAGGGAUACCAAGACUGACUUUCUGAUUUAAAAAAGUUUCAAAACCCUUUGGGCAAGAUGGUUUUCUGUAAGGAAUAUAGCCAAUCUGGGGAAGCCCUUGGACUCCACAUAGUAGUGGAGAUGGAAAGAAAGGAAUCCUGUGGGACUCUAUGGGCCCCCAGUGCAGGACUGUGGUUGUGGCAGAGGGGAGGAAACUCAGGCUGACAUAGAAAUGGGGAGAGGGGUAGGGAAAAAUGUGCAAAAUCCCCUCCUUCCUCUACUCUGUGUUUGCUUUGGAGGGGACCAAAUGGACCUGGGGGAGUCUGCAGAAGCAGAAAUACAGGUCUAUUGGAGGGGAAGCCAAGGUCCCCCAGAGUACUUGACUUUCUUCUCCAAGUCCUUAGUAGGAGCAGAGUGUAAAACUAUCAUUUAGAAAUUAGAAAUCAUAUGGCCCACUCUGGUUCAUUUGCAGGGAAACAAACAAACAAAAAAGCCAAAUGCUACCUGUAACUCUUCUGGCCAGUAGAAGGGUCAGUAACUCUUCCUCUCCCUCCAGUGCUAAUUAGAAGGACUCUACUCUGAGACUCUGGGCUCCAGCCCUGCAGCCCUGAGCAGGCCCCUCCUUCCUAAGCUUCCUGACCUCCUACCCAGCCCCACUUCCCUGUGUGUACUUCCUCCUUUUCCCUCUCCAGAACAGCUCCUGAGGGUCUCUCUACUUCUUCAAAAGCCUUCUCCUGGGCACAGAGACCUCCAAAGUUGAGGACAAAAGAGAGACAGUGACCACUGAGAGAAGCUCUGAAGGACACCUGUGUUCCCCAUCCUAGAAGGCUUCUCCCCACCCCCUGAUCUGUGUGUGUGAGAGAGAGUAUGUGCUUGUGCAUAAAUGGACAGUCAACCAGUACUUCACCUGGUAUCUAGGAAAGUUCCUGCCUUGGCUCUGCUGCAGUGGUUCACGUUGUGUAUACCUGAGCCUUUCCCUCAGAAGAGGGGUGAUGAUACUCAUCAAAUCAGUGGCCAACAGCUGUGGUACUCUAAAAAAGGGGUUGGGGACCAACCCCUGACGUCCACAAUGACCAAAAAAGGCGGUCAUUGUGGAUGUCAAAGUCCAUCAGAGAAAUUCCACUAGGGCAGAAUCUCCACGUCACACUUACAUUCAGGCAGUGCCUCAAAUUGAACCAAUGUUCAAAAACCUCCAAAUCUUUGCUCAGGUUAUAUCAUGAAGUUGAUUGAAGUCUUUGAGGUCUGUUUGUGUCUGCAGCUUACCAUGUGAAAGGGCCUGGGAUUGACCCACACUCCACAAAACAAGCAAACAAAAAAGAAUCUCAACAACUCAACCAUAAAAAAAGUUGACUCUAUUCAGAACUGGGCAAAGGCUCUCUACAGCCAGUUCACUGAGGAGAUUCACAAAUAGCCAAUAAGCCCAUGAAGAGAUACUCAAUAUCAGCAGUCAUUAGGGAAAUGAAAACAAAAGCACAAUAAGACUCCACUUUGUACCCAUGAAGAUGGUCACUGUUCAGAAAAAAAAGAAUGCAGAAUGAACAUGCUCAUAAAUAGGUAGAAAACAGCACCACAGGUGCAUUGCUUGCCUAUAUAUGUAAUGGUGCAGCUGCUAUGAAAAUUUUUUGGUGAUUCCUCCAAAUGCUCAAGAGAUACUUUCUAAAUGACCCAGUAAUUGUAUUUCUGGGCAUAAAUACAAAAGCAGUGAAGGCAGGUAAGUGCAGAGACAUUUGUACACCCACAUUUAUAACAGAAUUGUUCCCAAAAUCCAAAAAGUAGAAGUAACCCAACUAUCUAUCAACUGAUGAACUUCUAAUCAAAAUACAGCUUAUAUACAAAGUGAAUAUUAUUCAGACUUAAAAAGGAAGGGCAUUCUGACAAUUGCUACACUAUGUGUGACCUGGAGGACAUGAUGCUAAGUGGAAAAGCCAGUCAUGAAAGGACAAAUUCUGUCCAAGUGCACUUGUAUGAGGCAUUUAGGGAGUCAAAUUUGUAGAGACAGAAUGUACAAAGCCAGCACAAAGAUGACAGGGACUGGGGUGGGGAGGAUGGAUGCUUACUGUUUAAUGGGUACAGGGUUUCAGUUUCCAUAAACGUGUGAACACACUGAAUGCCACUGAAUUAUAUACUUAAAAUGGUUAAAAUAGAAAACUGUACAUUAUAUCUAUUUUACCACAAUUAAACACCAAACAGAAAUCAGGGCAGUGUACUACAGAUUAAUGCAGAAUCAGAAAGAAGGAAAUGGAGGCCUGAGAAGAGAGAAUCAAGGAAGAUGGACAAGUUGCACAACCAGGGGGAGGCCCUUCAGACUGGGAGAGGGUGGUGGGAGCUGGAUAUACCCCCAAAGAGCAUCAGAUUAGAAAACCAUCACAGGGGGAUGAGGGUGGUGCUCAGUAGUGAAGUGCAUAGUUGAGUCCAAGUUCAACGCCCACCACAAACACAUAAAUGAACAAACAAACAAACAAACAAAAACAUCAAGGAGAAAAGUAGUUCUGGGAGAGGCCAUAGUCGGGGAACACCAGGACCAACCAAGUAGCAAAACACAAAUUUUGGAUUCAUGGUGGAGGGAGCAAAAGUCCUCUGAGGACUAGGAACCAAAAAGGAGGCGGAAGGUCAAGGAGCAAAAGGACCAAGAGCCUUUUUAUGGUAUAGAUGGGGAAGUGGGAUGGGAAGGGCAAGUGAGAUUAGUGGCUUGUGGGUUGGAGGAGAACGUGGCAUAUAGGUGACCCUGGGAGAACUUGGGUUAGGAUGAGGACAGUAGUGUUGCUCUGGAUGAAGGCAAAUGAGCUGUAGUGGUUGCAAAGUUCCCACCAGAGCGGACUUGUGACACAUGAAAGUUGGUGAGGGCUCAAAACAGGUAGGCAGGGGAUGGGUGCUGAAAAAGGCCCCACAGCACAGAGGUGCAGAAGGACCAGGGAGAGAUAGAAUCCAGCACUUGCAGGCUGGAGAAUGGAGGCCUCAAAAUGGUGAGGGUUCANGCAGACAUCUGCUAAUGUACCAUCUUGACUCUCUCCUCUUUGGCCAUUUUUAAGUUGGGUUACUUGCUUUGUUAUUGGGCCUUUUGAGUUGCUGAUAAAAGAGAGACAGUGACCACUGAGAGAAGCUCUGAAGGACACCUGUGUUCCCCAUCCUAGAAGGCUUCUCCCCACCCCCUGAUCUGUGUGUGUGAGAGAGAGUAUGUGCUUGUGCAUAAAUGGACAGUCAACCAGUACUUCACCUGGUAUCUAGGAAAGUUCCUGCCUUGGCUCUGCUGCAGUGGUUCACGUUGUGUAUACCUGAGCCUUUCCCUCAGAAGAGGGGUGAUGAUACUCAUCAAAUCAGUGGCCAACAGCUGUGGUACUCUAAAAAAGGGGUUGGGGACCAACCCCUGACGUCCACAAUGACCAAAAAAGGCGGUCAUUGUGGAUGUCAAAGUCCAUCAGAGAAAUUCCACUAGGGCAGAAUCUCCACGUCACACUUACAUUCAGGCAGUGCCUCAAAUUGAACCAAUGUUCAAAAACCUCCAAAUCUUUGCUCAGGUUAUAUCAUGAAGUUGAUUGAAGUCUUUGAGGUCUGUUUGUGUCUGCAGCUUACCAUGUGAAAGGGCCUGGGAUUGACCCACACUCCACAAAACAAGCAAACAAAAAAGAAUCUCAACAACUCAACCAUAAAAAAAGUUGACUCUAUUCAGAACUGGGCAAAGGCUCUCUACAGCCAGUUCACUGAGGAGAUUCACAAAUAGCCAAUAAGCCCAUGAAGAGAUACUCAAUAUCAGCAGUCAUUAGGGAAAUGAAAACAAAAGCACAAUAAGACUCCACUUUGUACCCAUGAAGAUGGUCACUGUUCAGAAAAAAAAGAAUGCAGAAUGAACAUGCUCAUAAAUAGGUAGAAAACAGCACCACAGGUGCAUUGCUUGCCUAUAUAUGUAAUGGUGCAGCUGCUAUGAAAAUUUUUUGGUGAUUCCUCCAAAUGCUCAAGAGAUACUUUCUAAAUGACCCAGUAAUUGUAUUUCUGGGCAUAAAUACAAAAGCAGUGAAGGCAGGUAAGUGCAGAGACAUUUGUACACCCACAUUUAUAACAGAAUUGUUCCCAAAAUCCAAAAAGUAGAAGUAACCCAACUAUCUAUCAACUGAUGAACUUCUAAUCAAAAUACAGCUUAUAUACAAAGUGAAUAUUAUUCAGACUUAAAAAGGAAGGGCAUUCUGACAAUUGCUACACUAUGUGUGACCUGGAGGACAUGAUGCUAAGUGGAAAAGCCAGUCAUGAAAGGACAAAUUCUGUCCAAGUGCACUUGUAUGAGGCAUUUAGGGAGUCAAAUUUGUAGAGACAGAAUGUACAAAGCCAGCACAAAGAUGACAGGGACUGGGGUGGGGAGGAUGGAUGCUUACUGUUUAAUGGGUACAGGGUUUCAGUUUCCAUAAACGUGUGAACACACUGAAUGCCACUGAAUUAUAUACUUAAAAUGGUUAAAAUAGAAAACUGUACAUUAUAUCUAUUUUACCACAAUUAAACACCAAACAGAAAUCAGGGCAGUGUACUACAGAUUAAUGCAGAAUCAGAAAGAAGGAAAUGGAGGCCUGAGAAGAGAGAAUCAAGGAAGAUGGACAAGUUGCACAACCAGGGGGAGGCCCUUCAGACUGGGAGAGGGUGGUGGGAGCUGGAUAUACCCCCAAAGAGCAUCAGAUUAGAAAACCAUCACAGGGGGAUGAGGGUGGUGCUCAGUAGUGAAGUGCAUAGUUGAGUCCAAGUUCAACGCCCACCACAAACACAUAAAUGAACAAACAAACAAACAAACAAAAACAUCAAGGAGAAAAGUAGUUCUGGGAGAGGCCAUAGUCGGGGAACACCAGGACCAACCAAGUAGCAAAACACAAAUUUUGGAUUCAUGGUGGAGGGAGCAAAAGUCCUCUGAGGACUAGGAACCAAAAAGGAGGCGGAAGGUCAAGGAGCAAAAGGACCAAGAGCCUUUUUAUGGUAUAGAUGGGGAAGUGGGAUGGGAAGGGCAAGUGAGAUUAGUGGCUUGUGGGUUGGAGGAGAACGUGGCAUAUAGGUGACCCUGGGAGAACUUGGGUUAGGAUGAGGACAGUAGUGUUGCUCUGGAUGAAGGCAAAUGAGCUGUAGUGGUUGCAAAGUUCCCACCAGAGCGGACUUGUGACACAUGAAAGUUGGUGAGGGCUCAAAACAGGUAGGCAGGGGAUGGGUGCUGAAAAAGGCCCCACAGCACAGAGGUGCAGAAGGACCAGGGAGAGAUAGAAUCCAGCACUUGCAGGCUGGAGAAUGGAGGCCUCAAAAUGGUGAGGGUUCAGAUGAAGAAGUGGUCAAGGCAUAAUCAAGAGGGAGAUGUCUGCACUGGAGGAAGAAGGAGGAUACGGUCUUGAGAAUAGCAGGGAGGUCAAGGUGCUCUGCAUUGUGCUGAUAGUCAAUGAUUGUCAGCACCAAGACUCUGGCUUGUGAGAGCUUGGAGAAGUGAGGAUGAAGGGGAGACCCAAAGACAGAAGGCUUUACCAGAAAUUUAGGGUCAUCAGGCUGGGAGUGGAGCUCAGUGGCAGAGCACUUGCCAGAGCACUUGAGGUCAUGGGUUUUAUCCCCAGCACCACAAAAAAAAAAAAAAAGAAAGAAAGAAAAGAAAAGAAAGAAAAAGAAAAAGAAAUAGGAAAGAGCAAAACCAGUUAGGGUUAUCAUAAUUCUAAUUUCAUUCUACACAGAAAUGGCAAAAACUUCUAGAAUUCAUAUGGAACCAUAAAAGACCCUGUUAUGGUUUUAGAGAGGAAAUGUCCCCCAAAAGCUCACGUGUGAGAGAGUGCAAGAAAGUUUAGGGGUAAAAUGAUUGAGUUGUGAGAGUCUUAAUCUAACCUGCACAUUAACCUUCUGAGAGGGAUUAACAAGGUGGUAACUGUAGGCAGGUAGGGUAUGGCUGGAGGAGGUGGGUCACUGGGAAGAUAUUUUGUCCUUGUUGAGUGGAGCUCACUCUCUCUGCUUUCUGGUGCCAUGUUCUGAGCUGCUUUCCACUAUCUCACUCUUCUGCCAUGAUGUUCUGCCUUACCUCAAGCCCUGAGGAAUGGAGUCAGCCAGAGCACUUGAGGUCUAUUCUACAGAAGAGAGACCUCUAAAACGGGGAGCCUCAAAAUAAACCUUUCCUCUUCUAAAAUUGUUCUGGUCAGGUCUUUUGUUCAUAGCUGAAAAAAGGUGACUAAACAAAUCUCCCCAAAUCAAAUCAAUAUUGACCAAAAAGGACAAUGCUGGGAAUAUGACAAUACUAGAUUUCAAAACAGAUAACAAAACUACAGCAAAUAAAGCAGCAUGGUACUGGCAUGAAAGCAAACAUGAUGACCAAUGGAAAAGAACCCAGAUGUAAACACACACGUAUAUAGUGCAUGUAUUUUUGACAAAGGUGCUAAGUAUACAAUAUGGGAAAUGGGUAUCUCAAUAAAAUUUGUUUUCUCAAAUUUCUGUUGCGAAAACAAGAUUGUCACAAACAUAAGAAACAGAAACAUAAUGGACCCUUAUGCCAGCCCUUAUAUAAGAAUCAAACUCAAAAUGCAUUAAAAAUUUAAAUGUAAGACCUGAAGCAGGGUGUAGUACAGCAGGCCAGUAGUUACAGUUAUGUGAGAGGUUGAGGCAGAAUGAGCACAUGGUAUAAGACCAGCCUGGGCAAAAGAGCAAGAACACUUACAAUUAAAAGGAGAGAGAAAAAAAAAAGGUCCCACUUGAAACUAUAAAAAUGCCAGAAGAAAACACAGGAGCAAUGACAUUGAUCUGGACAGAAUUUUCUAGGUAUGAUCCCAAAAGCAUAGGCAACCAAAGCAAAAAUAGACAAAUAGAAUACCAUUCAACUAAAAUACUUUUGCCCAGAAAAGAAAAGAAGAAGAGAGUGAAAAGACAACUCAUACAUUGGGAGAGUAUUUACAAAUCAUACAUCAGAUAAGGGGUUACUGUCCAAAAUAUAUGAGUAACUCAAACUUCCCAAUAACAAAGCAAGUAACCCAACUUAAAAAUGGCCAAAGAGGAGAGAGUCAAGAUGGUACAUUAGCAGAUGUCUGCAUUUCCCGUUGCUCUGUGGAUCAGGAUUCAAGUAGUAAGAGUACUGCUUCUCAGUAUGGUGAAUGAAAGAGGAAAUUCAGUGAAAUUAAAUAUCAGUCAGUGGCUUGUAGAGACUCAGAAAUUCAGGUGCAUGAACAGAAAGUAGAAAUACACUGGAAGGAAGCUUGUUGUGACAGUGGCACUGGUUCACCACAGGGGAAAGGGAAAAUGCAUCAGAGGAAAAAACAUCUUUGACACAGAAAAAUAUGGAGAUCAGAAAAGCAGUAUGUAUUUAACUGAUCCAGAGGCUGCACAGUGAACAGGUGUGUGAAGAGUUCUCUGCUUCUCAACUGCCAAGCAGACAGUUGAGGUGGGAACCAUUUUGAGGAGGUCAUGCUGCAGCUUGUUGCUGCCAGAGCCGAGGAAAUCCUAACAAAUAUCACCAUAUUGACUCAAAAAGCACCCAUAGUGUGGCCUAGGUUGUACCUAGAACAAUGAGUGAAACAGGCAUAGAGAAUACUGUACCCAGGGGAUGCAAGUCAGAAAUACAGAGAGAACUGCAACUCAUUUCCCUUUGGGUCUGGUAGCUCAACAGACCAGCUGAAGAGGGUUGGGAAUGUGAACAGGAGGGCAUGAGCACACUCAGGGACUGACCUUGGGAAGGCCAUAUUUGUGGGCAGCUGAGUUUGUGAUACCUGUGUAGGGUUGGCUCCCCUGUCCGACAAGUAGAGUUCUUGGAAGGCUCCAGAGAUCCAGAUUCCCAGCAGAGAUCCGCAUCUGCCUGGACAUAGAGUUGUUGAUCUAAUCUCUCCAGAGCAGAUACUAUCCAACCAAGUUCCUGAACAGACCCAAGCCACAGCCACCAGAUCUCUCCUCUUAGAGCUCUGUAGCAGGCUCACCCUGGGAGUGCAUCAAUCUGGUCUUUGAGAGAAAACUCCAAGCAACAGUCCUUCCCAUUCCAUCACCCCUUACACUGGUAUGAAGCUGAGAGCUAUUUCAACCAGCUUCAGUUUUAGACCACUCCUGCUGGCAACUUUGAGAACAAUAGAAAAAGAGGAAUGGGUUAACAAUUCCCAGUGCUGGGUCUCUGUCUCUUAAUAAAGCCCAAGAAGAAAUGGAAAGAAUGACACUUGGACAAAAUCAGUGACCAUCCAUACUCAUCAACUGUUUUGACCACCUCAGUGGAGAAAAUUCUUUCCGUUUUCAUUAAGAACUAUCUUUUUUGGAGGGGUUGGUCUCACUGUGCUGAUUAUUUUGUAAAUGUAUCUACCCAUAUGUAUUUGUUUCCUUUUUCUUAUUUUUACCAUUUUUUCAACACUACUUAUUUUCCCUUGUCUUGAGGGUUAAGGUUUUAUUAUUUUGGUUUUAUUUUGUUUUUGUUUCUUUUUUUCUUCAUUUCCCUUUUUCUCCUCUCUUUUCCCACAUACAGCCAAAUUCUCUUGUUCUUUUUCUCUGUUCCUUUACUUUUUUUCUAAUUUAUUUUUUCCUUAUUCUUCUUUACAGCCAACACUGGCUACAUCUCUUUUAAAUACUCUCUGUUCACAUUUUGAAUAUUCUAAACUUUCCCUUUACUAUCCUAUCACAUUUUCUUCUCCCUUACUGAACAGUAUUUUCUUGGAAUGCCUAAUUUAUAUAACUCCUGCUCACACCGUUCAUUUUAUUGCAUUUAUUAGUACCGUGGAUGGCAUAGGUGACACCUAUUGUUGAUUUUAAUGCCAGAUCUAGUUGAUUGCUAUUUAUGUUUUUGCUGUUGGCAAUUGUUGACCCUACUAUUCCCGUUUUUGUGGUGAUUAGUGUUGUAGAUGUCACAAGAGGCACCAGGUAUUGAUUUUAAUGCUGUAUCUUAUUUGUUUCAGUUGUUGACAUUUUUGGUUUCCCUUUUUCUGUGAGGUGCUGGGAAUCUACAGGGACACUACUGUUCACAGGGUAGACACUCUGCCACUGAAAUAAACCCAGCCAAGACAGCACAACUUGGUAUACACACACAAAUUAAUCACAAACUUCAUCAAUAUUUAGUAUAAAAAAUAGAAAGAAAAAAAGUAUACCUAAACACCAAUGCCAUGUGGGAAUGGCUAGGGGACCCCUUGGGUAUCACUCCUGGACAUCCACUUCAAUAGCAAAAAGAAAAAGAAUGAUCACAAAGGCUGUGGUUACAACACUGCUGAGGGUUCUCAACCUAGAGUUCUCUAGGUCACUGUGGUAGGAGAAGUCCAUGCCUUAAAAGGACCACACAUAAAAGUGAAAGAGAAAUCCAUCCCCCAAAUGCAUCAAACCCAACACAGGAAUAUAAGAAGUAUGAAAAACAAGCUAACACACUUAGUUCCCUAAAGUUCACAAUUCAUCANGUUCCUGAACAGACCCAAGCCACAGCCACCAGAUCUCUCCUCUUAGAGCUCUGUAGCAGGCUCACCCUGGGAGUGCAUCAAUCUGGUCUUUGAGAGAAAACUCCAAGCAACAGUCCUUCCCAUUCCAUCACCCCUUACACUGGUAUGAAGCUGAGAGCUAUUUCAACCAGCUUCAGUUUUAGACCACUCCUGCUGGCAACUUUGAGAACAAUAGAAAAAGAGGAAUGGGUUAACAAUUCCCAGUGCUGGGUCUCUGUCUCUUAAUAAAGCCCAAGAAGAAAUGGAAAGAAUGACACUUGGACAAAAUCAGUGACCAUCCAUACUCAUCAACUGUUUUGACCACCUCAGUGGAGAAAAUUCUUUCCGUUUUCAUUAAGAACUAUCUUUUUUGGAGGGGUUGGUCUCACUGUGCUGAUUAUUUUGUAAAUGUAUCUACCCAUAUGUAUUUGUUUCCUUUUUCUUAUUUUUACCAUUUUUUCAACACUACUUAUUUUCCCUUGUCUUGAGGGUUAAGGUUUUAUUAUUUUGGUUUUAUUUUGUUUUUGUUUCUUUUUUUCUUCAUUUCCCUUUUUCUCCUCUCUUUUCCCACAUACAGCCAAAUUCUCUUGUUCUUUUUCUCUGUUCCUUUACUUUUUUUCUAAUUUAUUUUUUCCUUAUUCUUCUUUACAGCCAACACUGGCUACAUCUCUUUUAAAUACUCUCUGUUCACAUUUUGAAUAUUCUAAACUUUCCCUUUACUAUCCUAUCACAUUUUCUUCUCCCUUACUGAACAGUAUUUUCUUGGAAUGCCUAAUUUAUAUAACUCCUGCUCACACCGUUCAUUUUAUUGCAUUUAUUAGUACCGUGGAUGGCAUAGGUGACACCUAUUGUUGAUUUUAAUGCCAGAUCUAGUUGAUUGCUAUUUAUGUUUUUGCUGUUGGCAAUUGUUGACCCUACUAUUCCCGUUUUUGUGGUGAUUAGUGUUGUAGAUGUCACAAGAGGCACCAGGUAUUGAUUUUAAUGCUGUAUCUUAUUUGUUUCAGUUGUUGACAUUUUUGGUUUCCCUUUUUCUGUGAGGUGCUGGGAAUCUACAGGGACACUACUGUUCACAGGGUAGACACUCUGCCACUGAAAUAAACCCAGCCAAGACAGCACAACUUGGUAUACACACACAAAUUAAUCACAAACUUCAUCAAUAUUUAGUAUAAAAAAUAGAAAGAAAAAAAGUAUACCUAAACACCAAUGCCAUGUGGGAAUGGCUAGGGGACCCCUUGGGUAUCACUCCUGGACAUCCACUUCAAUAGCAAAAAGAAAAAGAAUGAUCACAAAGGCUGUGGUUACAACACUGCUGAGGGUUCUCAACCUAGAGUUCUCUAGGUCACUGUGGUAGGAGAAGUCCAUGCCUUAAAAGGACCACACAUAAAAGUGAAAGAGAAAUCCAUCCCCCAAAUGCAUCAAACCCAACACAGGAAUACAAGAAGUAUGAAAAACAAGCUAACACACUUAGUUCCCUAAAGUUCACAAUUCAUCAGAAAAUGACUCUAAAGAUAUUUAAGUGGAUGACAUACCAGAUUAAGGAUUCAAAGGAAUGACUAUAAAAAUAAUGAAUCUCAAGACAACACAGGAAAACAACUGAAUGAACUAAGAAAGUCAGUGAUGCGUACAAAGGAGAAAUUCAAUAAAGAGAUAGAGAUAUUGAAAAAGAAACAGAAAUAUUGGAAAUGAAGACAAAUUGAGUCAAAUAAAAUCUUAAGUUGAAAGUUUCUUUAGUAGAGAAGACCAUGCUGAAGACAGGAUCUCAGAGCUCGAGGUCAAAGUGGCAGGCUUUGAACAUUCAGACAAUAUUACAGAGAAUAAGUAAUGUGGCCAGAAUAUAUAAGAACUCUGGGACAAGACUGAGAGACCAAAUUUAAGAAUCCUUGGAAUUUAAGAGGGUUAUGAAAGACAGACUAAUUGCAUAAAUAACCUCUUCAGGGAAAUAAUAGAAAAUUUUCCAAAACUUGAGAAAGAGAAGGAUGUCCAAUACAGGAGGCAUUGAGAACCCCAAACAGACAACAUCAAAAAGGAACCUCUACAGAACACAUUAUAAUUAAAAUGCCUAACAUACAGAGCAAGGAUAAAAUGCUAAAAUCCUCUGAGAAAAAUGCCCCAUUAAAUGUCACAUUUAAAGGCAAGUCUAUCAGAAUUACAUCUGAUUUCUCAGCACAAACUCUAAAGUUGAGGAGGCUUUGAAUGAUGAGCUCCAAGCCCUGAAAGAAAAUAACUGUCGGCCAGGAUGCCUAUAUACAGCAAAGCUCUCCUUCAGAAUCUAAUUGGAAAGAAAAACUUUACAAGAUCAGCAGAGACAAAAAGAAUUCAUGAGUACUGAGCUGGUGAUAUAGAAAAUAUUUAAGCACAUAAUUCACACAGAAGAAAUUUUUUAAAAAGAGUUCACAAAUGGGCAAGUCUCAUUUGAAGUGGCACUACACAAAUGAGAAACAGGACAAAUUAAAUAUUAGAAAUAAAUCAAAAUGGCUGGAAAUAAUAGACAUCUCUCUGUAAUAACAUCAAAUGUGAAUGGUCUCACCUCUCCAAUUAGAAAACAUAAGCUGUCAGAAUGGACUAAAAAACAAGGCCCAACUAGAUGCUGUUGGUAAGAGGCUCACCUGACAGGCAAAGACAGCCACAAGCUGAAAGUGAAAGGAUGGAAAAUUAAAUAUUGUGCAAAUGGAGCCCCCACCCCCCAAAGCAUGAGUUUACAUUGUCACACCCAACAAAGCAGACUUCAAGCCAAAAUUAAUCAGGAGAGACAAAGGUCACUUCAAAAUGGUAAAGAGAAAAUCCAACAAGAAUAUAACUAUAAUUAAUAGUUAAAACCCAAAAGGUGGUGCAGCUAAUUAUAUAAAUCAGUUACUACUUACAUAAAUACUCAGAUAGACCAUACUAGUUGAUUUCAAUAUACCUCCCUCAUCAGUGGAUAGGUCAUCCAGGAAUAAAUUCAGUAAAGACUUUUUUAUUGAAAAAAAAGUAUAAAUCAAAUAUUCUUAACAGAUUCUAGAGAAUAUUUCAUCCAACUUCAGCCAAAUACACUUUCUUCUAAGAUGCUUAUGGACCUUUCCCACAAACAGAUCAUAUAUGAGGCCACAAAACAACCCACACCAAAUUAAAAAAACUUGAUAUAAUUCCUUGCAUAAUGAAAUGAAAUUAGCAAUCAACACCAAAAAAGACAUUCAGAACCUAUAAAAACAUGUGGAGAUUGAACAUUACACUUUUGAAUGAUGAUGAGUAAUAGAAGAGAGAAAUUUAAAAAUUCUUAGAGUCAAACAAGAAUAGUGAUACAACAUACCAAAACCUUGGCAACACUAUGAACUCAUUCUAAGAGACAAGUUUAAAACUAUAAAUGCUUAUAUUAGAGAAUCAGAAAGAUACCAGAUAAAUAAUCAAAGGAUGCAUCUCAAGACCAUUGAAAAACAAAAACAAAUCAAUUCCAAUGGUCAGUAUAAGGGAAUAAAUAAUUAAAAUCAGAGGUGAAAUUGAUGAAAUAGAGAAUACAAAAACAAUAAAAAGGAUCAAUGACAUGAAGAGUUGGUCUUUGAAAAGAUAAACAAGAUUGAUAAGCCCUUAGCCAAACAACCAAAAGAAAAAGAUAGAAGACCUAAAUUAAUCAAACUUGAAAUGAAAAAGGAGAAAUGACUACAAAUAUGACAGAAAUCCAGAGGAUUAUUAGGGAGUACAUUUGAAAACUUAUACUCCAAUACAUUGGAAAACCUAGAAGAAAUGGAUACAUUUCUAGGCACCUGCCAAAAUCAAAUCAAGAAGACAUAGAAAACUCACACAGAUCAAUAACUAACAAUGAGAUAGAAGUAGUAAUAAAAAAAAAAAAACACCUGGGGGCUGGGGUUGUAGCUCAGUGGUAGAGCACUUGUCUUGCAAGUGUGAGGCACUGGGUUCCAUCUCAGCACCACAUAAAAAUAAAUAAAUAGGGGCUGGGGCUGCGGCUCAGAGGUAGAGCACUCACCUAGCAUGUGGAAGGCCCUGGGUUCCAUCCUCAGCAUCACAUAAAAAAAAAUAAAUAAGUAAAUAAAAAUAAAUGUAUUGUGUCCAUCUACAACUAAAAAAAUGUCUUAAAAAAACCCCACCUGUAAUGGUUUAGAUAUGAGGUUUCACCAAAAGCUCAUAUGUGAGACAAUGCAAUGAUUUUCAGAGGUGAAGUGACUAUGAGCUAAGCAGUGGAUCAAUCCAGAGGUAACUGUAGGCAGGUAGGUUUUGGCUACCUGAUUUAGGGCACGGGGGAUGUACCUUAGGUACUUACAUUGUAUAAAUGAAUCUCUCUCUGUUUCUCUCUCACACAACCCCACCUCUGGUGUGCUCUCACUACCUUGCUCUCUUGCUCUCUCACUCUAGCUCUCUUGCUCUCACUCUUACUCUAGCUCUCUUGCUCUCACUCUCUGGCUCUCACUUUCACUCUCACUCUCACUAUCAUUCCACUUCCUGGUUGCUAUGAAGCCACCUGUGAAUUACAUGAGGGUCUUCACUAGGAAUGGAAGCCAAGGAAAUUUAGGUUUAACUUUGGGAAAUAUUUGUGGCUCCUCCCAUUCAGUAGAUUGCCCAAGACACAGAAUCUUAUCUCUGCUCUACUAGGGAGAGCCCUCACAGUAACUCUGGAGAUGGGCAUUACCUGUUGGGAACUGAACAGCCCCCUUGUACCUUUUUCAGCAAGGAACACUCCAUGGAAAACCUUUGAUGUUCCCCGAUAUAUAAAUAAAGCAAGCACUGGCUCCAUUUUGCUUUUUUCUUAGUGUGGAAGCAGCUAGCCUGUCCUGACCCCCCUCCUCCUGCUUAAAAAUAUAUAUAUUUCCUGUGUUCUGUGGUGUUUUCCCUUGCUCUAUUUUUCUUACCCUUUUUUCUGCACCUAGCCCAUUCCACCUAGAGGAACCCCAUUUCCACCCCCACCCCCAACCCCACGCAGGUCGUGGGUGGGGUUCCUCCAUGCCCUUCCACCAUGAAGUUCUGCCACAUCUAGGUCCCAUAACAAUGGAGUGGGUCAUCUAUGGACUGAGAUCUCUAAAAUAAUGAGUAACAAAUAAACUUUUCCUCCUCUAAAAUUGUUCUUGUUAGAACUUUUGGUCACAGUAACAAAAAGGCCAACUAAAACAUCAUCCAACAGAAAAAAAACCCAGGAACACAAUGAUUCUAAGCUGAAUUCUACCAGAAUUUUAAAGGCUUACUCAUGCCAACUCUCCUCAAAUAAUUCCAAAAUUGGAAUGGGAAUAAACACUUCAAACCCAUACUAUGAAGCCAGUGUCAUCAUCAGACCAAAGCCAGUAUCACUACAGAUCAAUAUCUCCGAUUAAUAUUAAUAUCUCUGAUUAACUUAGAUGAAAAAUUCUUAAUAAAAUAUUAGCAAAAGGGAGGGGGUAGGGGAUUAGCAAGGUGGUGGGAUGUGAUGGACAUCAUUAUACAAAGUACAUGUAUGAAGAAUUGAAUUGGGAAUAAACAUACUUUAUAUACAGAGAUACAAAAAUUGUGGUAAAUAUGUGUAUUAAGAAUUGUAAGGCAAAACAACAACAACAACAAAAGAAUAGUGUUACCUUAGAUUAGGUAGAGGGAAGUGAAAGGAGGGGAAGGCAGGGGAUGUGGGGAUAAGAAAGAUAGUAGAAUGAAACAGACAUUAUUACUGUAUGUAUGCAUGUGACUGUAUGACCAAUGUGAUUCUACAAUAUGUAUACUCAGAAAAAUGAGAAAUUAUAUCCCAUCUAUAUAUGAUACAUCAAAGUACAUAAGUGCAUUCUACUGUCAUGUAUAACUAAUUAAAAAAAAUCAAUACCAAAAAAUAAAAUAUUAGCAAAUUGUAUUCAAUAACAUAUUAAGAUGAUUGUAUAUCAUGACUAAGAAGGAUUUAUCCAAAUGAUGCAAAGAUGGUUUAACAUUCACAAAUCAAAACAUGCAAUAUACUACAUAAAUAGAAUUAAGGAGAAAAAUCACAUACUCAUCUCAAUAGAUGCAGAGAAAGCCUUCAAUGAAAUUUGGCACCCAUUCAUGAUAAAGACACCAAGGAAACUAGGCAUAGAAAGAACUUACCUCAUCAUAAGGGCUAUGAUCAACAAACGCAAAGCCAACAUCAUAGUGAAUGGGAAAAACUGAAAACAUUUCCUUGAAGAUCUGGAAAAAGAAAAGGAUGUCUACACUCAUCACUCCUACUCAAUAUAUUACUAGAAAUUCUAUAGAUCAAAUAGACAAGAGAGAAAAUCAAAGGGAUAAAAAUAGGAAAAGAAGAAGUUGAAUUUUCAAUGAUUGCAAAUGAAAAAUUCUAUACUUAGAAGAUCCAAAAAUCUCCCCAGGAGACUUCUAGAACCAAUAAACAACUUCAGCAAAGUCGCAGGUUACAAAAAUCAACAUAUAAAAAUCAAUAUUUUCCUAUACACCAAUAAUGAAUCUCCUGAGAAAGAAAUUAGAAAAACAAUCCCAUUCAUAAUAGCCUCAAUAAAGAAAGUACCUAGGAAUAAAUCAAACCAAGGAGGUAAAAGACCUCCACUAUGUAAACUAUAGAACAGUGAAGAAAGAAAUUGAAGAAGACACAAGAAUAGGAGAGAUGUCCUAUGUUCAAAGAUACGCAGAAUGAAUAUUGCUAAAUGAACAUAAAACCAAAAGCAAUAUACAGAUUCGAUACAAUCCCCAUCAAAAUAUCAAUGACAUUUUUUUUAAGAAUUAGAGAAAACAGUUUUACUGUGCAGUUGGAAGAAUGAAAGACCCAGAAAAGCCAAAGCAGUUCUAAGCCUAAAAAGAAAUGCUGUUCUAAGCCUAAAAAAUCACAGCACCUGACUUCAAAUUAUACUACAUAGCAAUAGUAACAAAAAAUGCAUGGUACUUGGAUACUUGGUAUAAACACACACACACACACACACACACACACACACACACCAAACAGAUACAGUCAUCUGAUCCUUGAUAAAGCAUGCAGUGGAGAAAAAAAUGCCUUUUAAACCAUUGUGUUGGAAAACAGGCUAUGCAUAUGUGGAAGAAUAAGGUGUGAUUUUUAUUUCUCACCUUGCACAAGUCAACUCAAAAUGAUCAAAGUCCUAGGAAUUAGGCCAUCAAUUAUGCAAGUCCUAAAAGAAAAAUGAGGUUCAACACCUAACAUACAGGUACAGGCAAUGACUUUCUCAAUAGGUACCUGAAAGCUCAGAAAAUGAUGCCUACUCUUCUGACAGAGGAUUCAUAUCUGGAAUAUAUAAAGAACUCAAAAAACUCAACACCAUAAAAAAUAAUCCAAAUAAUAAAUGUGCAAAUCACCUAAACAAGACACUUCUCAAAAGAAACACAAAUGGUCAACAAAUACAUGAAAAUAUCAUUAGCAAUUAGGGAAAAGUAAAUCAAAACUACACUGAGAUUUCAUCCCACUCCAGUUUGAAUGGCAGCCAUCAUGAAUACAAACAAUAAUAAAUGCUGGAGAAGAUGUGGAGAAAGAACAACACUGUUGGUAGGAUUGUAAAUUAGUACAACUACUAAGGAAAUUAGUAGAGAGGUCCCUCAAGACUCAGAAUGGAACCACCACCCAGUUGUACCACUCCUCAGUAUUAAGUCUAAAAAAUUAAAAUCAUCAUACAACAGUGAUACACACACAUUCAUGUUUAUAGCAGCAUGAUUCAAAAUAGUCAAAGUAUGGUACCAGCCUAGAUUUCCAUCAAUGGAUGAAAAAAGAGAAUAUGGAAUGUAUAAAGGAUGGAGUUUGACAUAGCCAUAAGGAAGAAUGAAAAUUUUCCAUUUUCAGGAAAAUGGAUUGAAUUUGUCAACAUUAUGUUAAGUGAAAUAAGCCAGAGUCAGAAAGUCAAGGGUCACAUGUUUUCUCUCUUUGUGGAAGAUAGAGAGGAAAAACCAAAGAAAGGAGGGGAGGGUCUCAUGAGAAUCAAAGGAAGAUAACUAGAGUAGAGGAAAGAAACCAGGGGAGGGAGGAGGAGAUGGAAAGUGUAAAUCCUGGGGAAUGACAUUAGACAAUUACUUUGUUAUAUUGUGUACACAUUUGAAUACAUAACAACAAAUUCCACCAUAUGUACAACUAUCGUGCACCAAUAAAAAAUAUAGAAAACAAAAAAUGGAGAAGGAGCCAGGCCCUAUGGUGCAUGCCUGCUACCUGGAGGCUGAGGCAGGAGCAUUCCUUUGAGCCAAGAAGUUUUAGUCCAGCCUGGAAAACAUAGCAGACUCACCUCCAAAAUAAAACAAAACAAAAGAACACACAACUGUGGCAAAUACAGACAAAGAAUACUAAUCGGUUUUAAGAACAAUAACAAAAAAGGUAAUUAGGGCUGAGGAUGAAGCUCCUCAGGGAUAGAGGGAUUGCCCAGCAGACACCAGACCUUGAGAUCAAUCCCUAGUAUAUUUACAUAAAAAAACCCUGCAAAACAGGAAAUUGUGUCAUUUUUGACAUAAUUUGGCCUUCUCCUGCACGUCCAUGUUCCCCUUUUUUGACAUCACCCACAUCUGGUGUCUGUGAUGGCACUGAAGCAUCAGCUGGUAGGAUUGGAAGGGGCAUGGAAGAAUCCUGAUUCAAGCUGGUCUACUGCUAUGCUCCCUGAUUUGGUGGAGGAAUUUUAACAUGUGUACUGCUUGAAGAGCCUCCACUGAGGUUUCUUGCCAACCACAUUAAUAUUUUACUGGCAUCUUCAAUCUGGUAUAUUAUAUAUAUUUUUUUGCCCAUGGGACCUAAUUUCCUAGGGCUAUUCAUUCUUAACCCGCUCAACUUCUGGCUGUGGAGAUGAAAGAAGUGACCAGAACUUGGAAAAUAGAAGGUGGAGUCACACAUGCUAAUAGCUAUCACAAAAAUGGCUGGCCAGUCAUGAUAGCUAUUGGAUGGGCCCAAGGUGCGGCUGGUAUCACUAUCAUGAAUUUUGAACAGUUGGUAAAGGAGAUUGGAAACCAGAGAUGAUGAAUGGCUGAAGAUGUCCUAUCUUUCCAAGGUAACCUUGCUGGGGUCCCUUCACAUUUCAGCGCACCAAGCAUCUGAACACAUCAAAGCAUAAUCUUAUGUUCCUUUAUACCAUCUUUCUUGUGGCCAAAAAGAUAACCAUCAUGGUUACACAGACUUCUUCUAUGACUCUUAGUCCUUUUAAGGAUAUAUUGAGUUGGCUGCUCUUUGGCAGCAAUAGUUUUCAUUGUAUAAAAAGAAAUGUGGAACAAAAUUAUCUUCUAAUGGCACUAGUUCAUUGGUCUUAAAACCUAUGACUGACGGUUCAGAUAAUGUUAAAAGGAAACUUACUAAGAACACUGAGUAAAUUUACUUGAGCUCUAGAAGGCAAAAAAAAAAAAAUUUUUCUCUUCUACCUAUCAGAUUGUGAUAAAUAUUUGUAUGCAGAUAUUGUGAAAUAAAGAUUAUAUAUAAGGAAUGGAGGUGACAAAAAGAAAUAAAUUCUAUAUUAGGGUGACUACCACUUUCUUGAUUUUAAUUCUUGAGUGUCAUGAGUAUAUCAUGUGAAUUUUUUUAUGAUAUAAAGUAUCUCUUGUGAUUACUUAAAUAUUUUACAUUCAUAAAAGAAAUUAUCAAUAUUUUAAAGAUUGGAUAUUUUCAUACAUUUAAAAAUAUGAAUCUAUUUGAGCUUUAGUUCAGCAGAAUUAAACUUUUGUUUUACAUUGCCAUCAUAAUUCUUAGGUAUGAAAAAUUAAUUGAUUAAAAAAUUAAAAUUCCUCUUUAAUUUUGAGUAUUGAAGACUGUAAACUUUUCCUAAAAUACUUUAUAAGUGAAAAUAAAUUGCUAGUAUAUUACAAUGUAAUUUGUAAAUAAAUUGCUAGUUUAUUACAAUGUCAACAUUGUAAUUUUGCCCACAUUAAAUGGAAAGUACCUGAAAUUUAACUUAAUUUUAUCUCUAAUAGUAUUUUUCAGUAAAAACACAAUAUUGUUAGUAUAGUUAGCAUGAGUUUGAAGUCUGUUUCAUGCCCUUGUUUCAUUUUUUUAUUAGUUACACAUGACAGUUCAAUGAUCUUGACAUAUCAUACAUUUGAUUCAAAUGGGGUAUAAUUUCUCAUUUUUCUGAGUGUACAGGUUGCAGAAUCACAUUGGUUAUACAAUCACAUAUAAUGCAGCAAUAUUAGUGUCUAUUUUAUUCUGCUGCCCUUCCUAUACCUCUUCCCGUCCCCUCCCCUCCCAUCACUUCUCUCUACCCAAUCUAAUGUGACACACUUCUUCCCCCCCCUCACAUCAUCAUACAUGUAUUUUGUAUAACAAUGAGGGUCUCCUUCCAUCCUCCAUGCAAUUCCCCUUCUCCCUCCCUUUCCCUCCCACCUCUCUUCCCUAUUUAGUGGUAAUCUUCUUUUCAUGCUCUUCUCCCUAUCCCAUUUUGAGUCACCGCCCCCCUUAUAUUAGAGAAGACAUUCAGCAUUUGUUUUUUAGGUAUUGGCUAACUUCACUUAGCAUAAUCUGCUCUAAUGCCAUCCAUUUCCCUGAAAAUGCCAUGAUCUUGUUAUUUUUUAGUGCUGAGUAAUAUUCCAUUGUGUAUAAAUGCCACAUUUUUUUUAUCCAGUCAUCUAUUGAAGGGCAUCUAAGUUGGUACCAUAGUCUGCCAUAAACAUUGAUGUAGCUAAGUCCCUGUAGUAUGCUCUUUUUAGGUCUUUUGGGUAUAGUCCGAGAAGGGGAAUAGCUGGGCCAAAUGGUGGUUCCAUUCCCAGCUUUCCAAGGAAUCUCCAUACUACUUUCCAAAUUGGCUGCACCAAUUUGCAGUUCCACCAGCAAUGUAUGAGUGUACCUUUUUCCCCCGCAUCCUCGCCAACACUUGUUGUUGUUUGACUUCAUAAUGGCUGCCAUUCUUACUGGAGUGAGAUGAAAUCUAACCCUAACCCUCAAAAGAAAAUCAGGGGUGUGAUUGUUUUAUAAAUUACUAAUUCCAUGUUCGAUAAUUUUCAGUGUUCCAAAAUUACAAAAUAUGCUUGUUUUUUUGUUCCCCUCUUUCUCUCUCUUUAGAAUGUAAUAAACUAGCAAUUUAUUUCUUUAAACACAUUUAUUUCAACUGGAGAUAAAACUUACACAUUUCACAUGUUUUCUCUGACUUUGGUUGUUCUGAAUACAUUCCUAGCAGUUGUCUUAAUGAUUAAAAAAAUAUUAUCUCCAUUUACUUUUUUUCUUCUAUGUCUCCUUUCUAGUGGCAACUUUCUUAGUUUUUUGUUUGAAUAUCCCAUGUUAGAUUACAAAUGGUUAUGUUUAGUUUUAAUUUACAUGCACAUGUAUUAUUAAUUUUAAAUGAAAACUGAUUAGCUUCAAGUGAAAAUGCUCAGCUCUGAUGAGAACUAUCCAUGUACAAUUGAUAGUAAUCAGCUAAGAAACAGAUCAACAGAAAUCUCAUUGACUGAAGAAUGGUGACAUUAAAUCUGGUUUAUUACGAGCAAAAUAAAAAAACAAACAAGAAAAAGUAUUAAAUUGUGCUAGAGUUUCUUUAACUUAUAACCAAAAGUACACUUCCAACAUUCAAACUCUGUGAUAUGACUUCUUAUGCCAAGACUAUGAACCUAUCUACUCCCUCUAUCAGGUAGAAAUUUUAGAUGGCUUACAAAUACUCAAAUCAUAUUCAAGUUGAAAGUUCAGGUUCAGGUGGAGUUUAGCAGUCAUUGGGUGUUGCUCAAUAAGCACUCACUCAAUGGGGACAGACCAAACUGGAGCAGAGAGGGAGGGGCUAUGCUUAAUGGCAGAGCCAAGCCUUGAUGCUUUCCCAGCACUCUGCCCUCAUUCAAGUACAGCCUUGCUGGCAAUGUCACCAGUAACCAGAUUAGAUGAGCUCUUUGCAGAUUUCAGCCACUUCUGCUCUCAGAAGCAACUUCUGCACUAAAAUCUCUCAGGAUCCAAACACCCUCACUUUAUAAGUGAAAAUAAAUCGCUAGUUUAUUACAUUCUAAUCUGCUCCUUUUCCUGCCGUUGACUCCAAGAUCCAGCAGGUUUCCUUUCUUCUGGCCACAUCCUGUAACUGCCUUAGCUCCCCCAGGGCAACUCAGGAGCCCCAUCAGGCUACCCCCCAUAGGCCAAUCCAACACCAACUAGUCUCCCUUAGGGCAUCUGCAUCUCUGCACCUCAUAUCAGACAGGUCUAUAAGCACACUCUACACCUUUCCAAACACUAUAGACAUCCCCCCACCACACACACACACUUGCCCUACUUCUAUUAACUGCAACACCACCCUUGGUAAUUUCUAACUGAUGCUUUCCCCUGCCCCUCUGGCUUUCCCAGGCAGCUCCUAAAACCCUUUUUACAGCUUAACAGUCACUACCUUGGUACCAACUUUCAACUACCUUUAUCCUAGAAUCCUGCAAAGACUUCUUCCUAAAUACUGUGUCUAUCUCCUGUUGUCACCAUAAUGCUCCAAGCCAAGCCACAGCAGCUGCAUCUGUUGACUGUAAUGUAGGAUACCUCUACACUCCCAUCAAAGCCCACAGGUGCCACAACCUGUUGUUUAGCAUCACCCUCUCCCCCAUUUCUCUGGUCACAUCUCUCCUAGGCUGGGGUCAAAGCAGGCUGCCCUGUCUCCUUACCCUGUCUCAACAGAAUAUUACUGCAAAGCAAUCUCCCUGGGGACUGUUCCUGCCUCUGCCUUCCAACCAUCAGACCUCCUCUCCACAUCCUUUAAACAAUCCAAAGAAGGUAGUAGUGGUGGUGGCACAACCUCAUGAUUGUACUAAAACCACAGAAUUGCACACUUUCAAAGUCUGACUUCUGAUAAAUGAAUUACAUCUCAAUAGUAAUAGUAAUAACCAUGCUUACCAGAAAGCUCCUGUGCUGAAGUUUGCCUUGUCAUUAAGCACCCUUUCUCCCUCCACUCUCCCUUGGGACCCCUGGAUUCACAAGAAUACUAGGGGCUUUCUCUGAGUUGACCUUUGGUGCCAAUGCUGAGUUCCUGAAUACAAAGCAAAAGCACUGUUCAGCGUGGUUUGAAGUUUUUGGCACCAAACUUUACCAAAUUGCUGUAGAUCACAUCACCCCGACUUGGACCAAAGAAAAUCACAACUAUUGGUUGACAUAAAAGCAGAGUGAAGGCGCUUGUGGGCGCCUUGGGGUGGGCGAGCUGCAUCUGUGUUUCAGUUCUGGGGCUGUUUGGCAGUUAGGGGAGUCUGCGGGCUGCGAGAAUCAGACCCCACAGCUGGGGAUAUCCUCAGUCCUGAGCAGGAUGUGGAGUCCCACACACUUCAAUUAGCAUCCACCUGGAUUGUGGUGGGUGGAUCUGAAAAGCUGAGGAGCCCUCCCACCCCCUCCAAGAGCAGCCUUUGGGUUCUAGGAUCAGAUCACCUCCUAGGGCUCAGUUUCCUGCCAGGAGCAGAAUUCCCUCCUCAGGGAGGGACUGAUUGAAAACCCCCAGAUCCAAAGGAAAACAAAGACUAAUUUCAAGGAAAAUCCUCUCAAUGUUGGGACCCUUCAGUGAGGAUCCUAAUCCGGACCCCACAGUGUGAUCUCCAGGGAAGACUGAAGUGACUUUCACUGAACCUUCCCAGGAAGAGCAAAGACAGCUCCUCAUCAUGCACAGCACCCUGGUGAGGAGCCCUGCCUUGUGCCUCUUUUUAUUUUGGCCUGUCCCAGGUGGACGCAGUCCCAUGUCUUGGCAACCAGCCUUCAAAAAACAAGAUGAAAAGGAACGGAGAGAGUGAAGAAAAGAGGGUCCUGGAGAGAAAGGUUGAAAUGCUGAAGAAAGGAGAGGAGAGGAAGAAAGGUGGGGGAGGGGAGGAGAAUUUAAAACCAAGGACAGCAGGAAGGGGAAAGAGAUGCAGAGAUGAGGGCUGUCAGGUCCCGCCCUUACCUGCCUUCCCCCAGGAUCAAGCCUCUGCUUCCAAAUCAACCCCAUUAAGAUUCCAGAACAGGAUGCAGACCCUGAGCCUUAGGGACACCCCACAACCCCCACUGCAGAAAGGGCCACAGCCCUCCUCCAUUUAUCAUAUUUAAAUGAAAACCAGCUGGUGGUGAUGGCACAAGCCUGUAAUCCCAACGAUUUGGGAGGUUGAGGCAGGAGGAUUACCAAAUUCAAGGCCAGCCUCAGCAAUUUGAGAGGCCUGAAGCAACAACUUACUGAGACCCUGUCUCAAAAUAAAAAACUAAGGGCUGGGGAUGUACUCCACGGUAAAGUGCCUCUUGGGUUUAAUCCCCAGUGUAUGUAUGUGUGUGUGUAUGUAUGUAUAUGUAUAUGUGUGUGUGUGUAUGUAUGUAUAUGUGUGUGUGUGUGUGUGUGUGUGUGUGUACCUAUCCAAAAAGAAAUAUAAGGAAGGGUAACAGUGUUCUAUUUUCCCAUGAUUAUGUUUCUUUAAAAUGCAUUUAUUUGGUGGUUAAGAACACAGUACAGCCUGAACCAGACCCUGGGUUCAAUGCUCAGCUCCUCCCAAAAUAAGCAACAACAAAGAAAACCAAACACAAAUAAACCUCCCAAGUCCAGAAAUUAUGUGGAGCUUUCUAUCAGUUGAACUUGGGCGCCAAUGUUGAGUUCCUGACUACAAACUGAAACCACAGUUAGGCGUGGUUUGAAGUUUUUGGCAUCAAACUUUACUGGAUCGCUGAAGAUCAUGCAGACUUCAAGCAUGAAGACUUUUCCUACUCAAGUGUAGAGGGCUGGGGAUGUAACCCAAUGGUAACAGGCUUGCCUAGCAUUAUGAAGCCUGGGCUUAAUCCUUAGCACUUCAAAAACAAGUAUCUCCAAAAGUUCUUUAUGUGUCAAGCCCUGUUGCUAAGCUAAUAUCUUUUUAAAAACUGGGUUUAAUUCUGAUAUCAAUAAUCACAAUAAACUUUUGAGUUUGGAUUUAAGAUCUAAUGCCCUCCAAAAGCAAUAAAUGAAUAAAAACACAAUAAAUAAUCAAAAAUUCUAAAAUAUAUUAUUUUGUUUCUUGACACAUUAAAUAGACAGACCUGGAUACAGGUUUAACCAGUACCAAAGAGUAUAAAGGAUGUGUUGAGCUCCCUGCUACACUGCAAUGAGAGAUGCAAACAUCUGUGAAUUUAGUGGUCAAAGUAGGAGGUAAGGCUCCUACUACCUUGGUAUUCUGUUCAUAAUGGAAGAAUAUGCUAAUUGUCAGAUAGAAAGAAAACAUGUAUUUAUUAUUUCUAGCUUUUAGUUUUACCCUUAAUCCAGGGUCAUCUGUUGUGAACACUUUGUCACAGCUGUUCUCACUCUCCCACCCCCAUAUAAACAUGGCUGUAAUGAGAUUGCUGCACCUUUGCACAAUAAGUUACAAACACCAUAAUUCUUUUUUUUUUUUUAAACUUGGGAUUGAACCCAGGGCAUUUAACAACUGAGCCACAUCACCCAGCCUUUUUUAAUAUUUUUAUUUAGAGACACGGUCUCAUUAAAUUGGUUAGGGCCUCUCUAAGUUGCUCAUGCUGGCUUCGAACCUGUGAUUCCCCUGCCUCAGCCUUCUGAGCUGCUGGGAUUGUUCAGGUGUUCACCACCAGGCCCAGCCCACCAUAACUCUUUACCUCUAGAUUUGUCUGGGUCUAUCUCUUAAGAACAUGGGUUUGUUUUAUUUUCUUUAUACAGAACCAAAAUACAAAUUUCAAGGGGGUGCCAACUUUCUUAAAUCAACUUCAAUAAUCUAUAGUUUACAUACUAUAAAAUGCAUGUAUUUGAAAUGUACAGCUCCUUGAGUCUGGGUAAUCAUGCAUUCUUGUGUUACCACCAGGGAAUAAAGAAGAAGAACAUUCCCAUCAUCCCCCAAAGAAAAUCUAUGCAAUAAAAUUCUAGGUAGCCAUUAAAAUGAGCAAAAUAUAUUGUAAUGGAUUGCUAUUAAAAAUGGUGCCCUCUGGGUUGUGGCUCAGUGGUAGUGUGAUUCCCUAGCAUGUGUGAGGCCCUGGGUUCAAUUCUCAACAUCACAUAAAAAUAAGUAAACAAAAUAAAGGUUUUGUGUCCAACUACAAUUAAAAAAUAAAUAUUAAAAAGAAGAGGUGCCCAACAUAUUCUAGGCUCCUUAAAAGGUUAGGAAAAUACUGGAUUAUAAUACUACCAUGUACAUAGUGUGUAUUAUUAAAGAGGGAAAACCUGGAUGAUUUUCCACUGAUGGUUUGACAGAGGCAUCUCCAGGGACUGGGAAAACUUGGUGCCUUUUGCCUUCUCUGAAAUGCUGGAAUUGUAUGUUCUAGCAUAAAAUCGGAUUUGGAAGAGGUGCCAGGCAAAGAAUGUUAUCUGUUUAAAUUAUGAGAAACUAAGCCCCAAACUCAAGAAAAUACUGAUUGUAAAGGACAAAAUAUUGAUUGUAACCCAACACCAGAAGCUCUGUCUUAGGACUAGACUUCAUGUUUUCAUAGCAUGGACCAUCCCUCAAUUGCUUUUGAGAAUGAUACUUUUAUUUUUUUAAAUUUAUUUCUGCAGUACUGGGGAUAAAACCCUGUGCCUCACGCUGCCAGGCAAAUGCUCUACCCUGAGCUACACCCCAGCCCUGAAUGGGAUACUAUUUUAGUAGACAGACAUGUAACAAAUAUGGCCCAAAAUACAAAAUAGAGUGCAAAGGAGGCUGCAGAUGGCUGCNUGUGCCUCUUUUUAUUUUGGCCUGUCCCAGGUGGACGCAGUCCCAUGUCUUGGCAACCAGCCUUCAAAAAACAAGAUGAAAAGGAACGGAGAGAGUGAAGAAAAGAGGGUCCUGGAGAGAAAGGUUGAAAUGCUGAAGAAAGGAGAGGAGAGGAAGAAAGGUGGGGGAGGGGAGGAGAAUUUAAAACCAAGGACAGCAGGAAGGGGAAAGAGAUGCAGAGAUGAGGGCUGUCAGGUCCCGCCCUUACCUGCCUUCCCCCAGGAUCAAGCCUCUGCUUCCAAAUCAACCCCAUUAAGAUUCCAGAACAGGAUGCAGACCCUGAGCCUUAGGGACACCCCACAACCCCCACUGCAGAAAGGGCCACAGCCCUCCUCCAUUUAUCAUAUUUAAAUGAAAACCAGCUGGUGGUGAUGGCACAAGCCUGUAAUCCCAACGAUUUGGGAGGUUGAGGCAGGAGGAUUACCAAAUUCAAGGCCAGCCUCAGCAAUUUGAGAGGCCUGAAGCAACAACUUACUGAGACCCUGUCUCAAAAUAAAAAACUAAGGGCUGGGGAUGUACUCCACGGUAAAGUGCCUCUUGGGUUUAAUCCCCAGUGUAUGUAUGUGUGUGUGUAUGUAUGUAUAUGUAUAUGUGUGUGUGUGUAUGUAUGUAUAUGUGUGUGUGUGUGUGUGUGUGUGUACCUAUCCAAAAAGAAAUAUAAGGAAGGGUAACAGUGUUCUAUUUUCCCAUGAUUAUGUUUCUUUAAAAUGCAUUUAUUUGGUGGUUAAGAACACAGUACAGCCUGAACCAGACCCUGGGUUCAAUGCUCAGCUCCUCCCAAAAUAAGCAACAACAAAGAAAACCAAACACAAAUAAACCUCCCAAGUCCAGAAAUUAUGUGGAGCUUUCUAUCAGUUGAACUUGGGCGCCAAUGUUGAGUUCCUGACUACAAACUGAAACCACAGUUAGGCGUGGUUUGAAGUUUUUGGCAUCAAACUUUACUGGAUCGCUGAAGAUCAUGCAGACUUCAAGCAUGAAGACUUUUCCUACUCAAGUGUAGAGGGCUGGGGAUGUAACCCAAUGGUAACAGGCUUGCCUAGCAUUAUGAAGCCUGGGCUUAAUCCUUAGCACUUCAAAAACAAGUAUCUCCAAAAGUUCUUUAUGUGUCAAGCCCUGUUGCUAAGCUAAUAUCUUUUUAAAAACUGGGUUUAAUUCUGAUAUCAAUAAUCACAAUAAACUUUUGAGUUUGGAUUUAAGAUCUAAUGCCCUCCAAAAGCAAUAAAUGAAUAAAAACACAAUAAAUAAUCAAAAAUUCUAAAAUAUAUUAUUUUGUUUCUUGACACAUUAAAUAGACAGACCUGGAUACAGGUUUAACCAGUACCAAAGAGUAUAAAGGAUGUGUUGAGCUCCCUGCUACACUGCAAUGAGAGAUGCAAACAUCUGUGAAUUUAGUGGUCAAAGUAGGAGGUAAGGCUCCUACUACCUUGGUAUUCUGUUCAUAAUGGAAGAAUAUGCUAAUUGUCAGAUAGAAAGAAAACAUGUAUUUAUUAUUUCUAGCUUUUAGUUUUACCCUUAAUCCAGGGUCAUCUGUUGUGAACACUUUGUCACAGCUGUUCUCACUCUCCCACCCCCAUAUAAACAUGGCUGUAAUGAGAUUGCUGCACCUUUGCACAAUAAGUUACAAACACCAUAAUUCUUUUUUUUUUUUUUAAACUUGGGAUUGAACCCAGGGCAUUUAACAACUGAGCCACAUCACCCAGCCUUUUUUAAUAUUUUUAUUUAGAGACACGGUCUCAUUAAAUUGGUUAGGGCCUCUCUAAGUUGCUCAUGCUGGCUUCGAACCUGUGAUUCCCCUGCCUCAGCCUUCUGAGCUGCUGGGAUUGUUCAGGUGUUCACCACCAGGCCCAGCCCACCAUAACUCUUUACCUCCAGAUUUGUCUGGGUCUAUCUCUUAAGAACAUGGGUUUGUUUUAUUUUCUUUAUACAGAACCAAAAUACAAAUUUCAAGGGGGUGCCAACUUUCUUAAAUCAACUUCAAUAAUCUAUAGUUUACAUACUAUAAAAUGCAUGUAUUUGAAAUGUACAGCUCCUUGAGUCUGGGUACUCAUGCAUUCUUGUGUUACCACCAGGGAAUAAAGAAGAAGAACAUUCCCAUCAUCCCCCAAAGAAAAUCUAUGCAAUAAAAUUCUAGGUAGCCAUUAAAAUGAGCAAAAUAUAUUGUAAUGGAUUGCUAUUAAAAAUGGUGCCCUCUGGGUUGUGGCUCAGUGGUAGUGUGAUUCCCUAGCAUGUGUGAGGCCCUGGGUUCAAUUCUCAACAUCACAUAAAAAUAAGUAAACAAAAUAAAGGUUUUGUGUCCAACUACAAUUAAAAAAUAAAUAUUAAAAAGAAGAGGUGCCCAACAUAUUCUAGGCUCCUUAAAAGGUUAGGAAAAUACUGGAUUAUAAUACUACCAUGUACAUAGUGUGUAUUAUUAAAGAGGGAAAACCUGGAUGAUUUUCCACUGAUGGUUUGACAGAGGCAUCUCCAGGGACUGGGAAAACUUGGUGCCUUUUGCCUUCUCUGAAAUGCUGGAAUUGUAUGUUCUAGCAUAAAAUCGGAUUUGGAAGAGGUGCCAGGCAAAGAAUGUUAUCUGUUUAAAUUAUGAGAAACUAAGCCCCAAACUCAAGAAAAUACUGAUUGUAAAGGACAAAAUAUUGAUUGUAACCCAACACCAGAAGCUCUGUCUUAGGACUAGACUUCAUGUUUUCAUAGCAUGGACCAUCCCUCAAUUGCUUUUGAGAAUGAUACUUUUAUUUUUUUAAAUUUAUUUCUGCAGUACUGGGGAUAAAACCCUGUGCCUCACGCUGCCAGGCAAAUGCUCUACCCUGAGCUACACCCCAGCCCUGAAUGGGAUACUAUUUUAGUAGACAGACAUGUAACAAAUAUGGCCCAAAAUACAAAAUAGAGUGCAAAGGAGGCUGCAGAUGGUCUGCCUCCUGUCAAUAGUGGGUGGGGGAAAGAAAAACCCAGUGGAGGUGCAAGGGACCCUGUCACAUUUUUACUCAAAACACGUUUGAGACUUGUAUUGCCAUACUGUCCACAUGUCAUGGACAAAGUCCCAGCAUAUCUCCUUCUUUGGGCCAUAAUUUUCCCUUGCAAACUGUUAAAUGAGCAAAUGUAAAAAAUGGGACUGAAUCUGUCAUAUAAGUAGUUUCAAGAACAUUUGGGCAAUGCGAAUUCAGCUGGGCAAGGCUCUCAGUCUCCACAAGUGGCAGUCACCUGGAAGGACAGAAGUCUCAGAAUUCCUUCCCAAGUCUGAGGAGGAAAGAGAAUUCCAGCCCUAGAGCCUCUGACACUGAGCUCUAGGGGGAUUGCGGUCACAGAGGAGAGAAGGGAGCUCGGGCAAUAGCAGAGGAAGGAUGAGGGGGAGAGAGCUAAAGUCCACCGGAUCCCUCCUUCUUUUACUGAUGGUUGACUUUGGAGGGGACCAAAUGGUCCUGGGAGGGGUGGUGGUUGCAGAUAGGGGUUAUCUCAAGAUGUCUCUUGGUGUCCCCCACCAUACCUUGCUCUCUUUUCCUAGGGAUUACUGAUUAGUUCACACUGGGAGCAGACUGUAAAAGAUGUCAUUUGAAAAAAUGACACUUGAAACAUAUGCUCCUUAUCUUCCACUCUGGUGCAUUUAUAAAAACCAAAAUUAAAAAGCCAAAUGCUAUCCCUCUAUGUUUCUAGCAGGUAGAAGGGCCAGUGGCCCUCUUCCUCCCUCAGGUGACAGGUACCAAGACUCCAGCUUUGAGGCUCUGGGCUCCAGUCCUGCAGCCAGCAGCCUCCUCCUGCCUGGGCUCCCCUGGCCCUUGGACCAGCCCCACUCCCCUGUCUGUACUGCCUCCUCCUUUUCCCUCUGCACACCCAGCUCCUGAGGUUCUCUCCACUUCUUCAAAGGCUUUCUCCUACUGGAGCGCAAAGACCCUCAAAGUUCAGGACAAAGAGAAACAAAGACCCUUGAGAGAAGACCUGAACCUGAGGUUCCCACCCUUGAGGGCAGCCCCCUCUCCCCAUCCCCUGUGUGUGUGUGUGUGUGUGUGUGUGUGUGUAAGUGGAGGGUCAUAGUCCUUCACCUGGCCACUAGGAAACCUACCACCUUGGCUCUGCUGCAGGAGUUGAUGUUGCACGUGUGUCGCGACCCCUUGCCCGCAAGGAAGACGCAACUCAGGAAUCUUCUUUCAGCAGUUUAUUCAGGCCCUUGAUAUUUCUUCUUCUCUCUCUCGGAUGCCCCUCCCAGCCUUAAUAAAGCAUCCCAAGCCCCAAUGCAAAGCUGCCGCGUGGAGCUUUCUCACAGGGUGGUGAAAAAUCAUGUGCCAACUUUCCUAGAUAAGGAGUUGUUUGUCACAGACCACAGCGGAGCCAGCGCCAUGUUGUAAUGGCGACCAUAGUCUGCAGAAACAGCAGAAGCGGCUCACCACACAUGUGUCCCUUUCUCUGUGGAUUGGGACAACAAUAUUCACCAUAUCAGCAGAGUUAGAAAGAUCCCCUUAAAGAAACAUUUAAGGUUCCCUCCUCACAUCACCCAGGGCUGCUAUGUGCGUAGAUACCAAGUUCUCAGAUAUGGUUUCUAACACCAAACUCUCUAAAAUAGGGUCCCUGGCAUUUUUGCCACUGACAGUCUUGUGGACCAGGCACAUAUUUCUCAAUAGUAAUUAUCACUCUGUUGAAUAAUUUUUAUUUUUUGGUUGUCAGACUGUAUCUCUGAAGUAUGUGUUCCUUAGGUAGGGAGCUAGUCUAGUUGUCACCACCUGUAUCCCCAGCAUCUGGAAUAAUCCUAGUAUAGAAUAGGGACUCAAUGAAUCUGGACUGAAUGGAUAUCUAGAUAGAUGGUUGGAUGAACAUGUGUUGGUGUGUAACUAUGAGAGACAAUUUGAUCCCAUGUCUAUUCAAGAAAUCUAUGAUUUUAAAACAAAAGGCAAAAUAUAGAGGGAUCUUUAGAUAUAAGAUUAUUAAUCAGACUUUAUUUGCAAUGAAAGAAUAAAACACAAAAGGGAUCUGGGGAUGUAACUCAGUGGUAGAGCCUGAACUAGCUCGUACCAGGCCCUGGGUUCAACCCCAGUAGGAAAAAGACAGAGAUACCAACAGGAGUGGUUAUAUAUAUUUUUUCUUGUACUACAUAUUUGGUUGACAAAAAUCAGUGUGUAAAUGAGUGUGAAAUAUCAUAUAAAGUUGCUUUAUCAUAAUAAAGUUUUUAAAUGUAAGAUUCAAAAUAUUUCAUCUUGUUUGAGUGCAGCUAUGUAGUCCUGCAUACAAACACAGAAACCAUCACCUUGUGACAACACACAUCAAGUAUCUCCAUGAAGAAUCUCCCUGAGUAGUGUCUGGAGAUCAUCAUGGAGCCUUGUGGUGACUGUCAUGUGGCUGGUGGUCAGCCUGGAGGUGGAGCAGAUACUGGUGACCCAAAACUCUCAUUAUAAAGGUAUUACUAUCUGGUGGCCACAGACUCCAGGUAAACAGAGAUGCUCUUCCCAGGUAGGACAUUGCAGGGGCCUAGGGGUCACCUCCCAGAAGCUGAGGGCAGAAGCAGACCUCUAUCUGGUUAAGGCAUAUUUUCUGCUGUGUACCUGUGGCAACUUCCCAUUUGGCUUUACACAUUUACAUCCAAUGGGGUUGUUUUGUGUGUACGCUAUGAAGUAUCUUUGAUCUUACUUUUACUUUUAUUCUUACAGUUUUCUUUUAAAAAGAAUGUACAGUUUCCACAGCACUCCUUAUUUACAAAAGUCCUUUCUGCAUUGUUUUAUGAUGCCCCUUUAUUUGUAAAUCAGAUGUUUCUAUUUAUGGGGCCUGUUCCAUUGGCCCUUUUGUUUUUGCACCAAUAUAGGCAGGUCUUAAUUAUUGUCACUUUUAAUGUUCUACCUUUGUUUCUUCAAGAAUACCCUGGCUAUUCUUGCCCUUUUGUAUUUGCAUAUCAAAUUUGGACUCUGUUUGUCAAUUUCUCCAAUGAAACUUGUUGGGAAUAUGAUAGAAUUGCAUUGGAUUUGUGGAUUAGUUUGGGGAUUUGCUACUAAAACAACAACAACAACAAAAACAAAACCAAAACACAUGUACAGAAAACAAGUGGGGAACUCAGCACUGCUAUAUAGGGCAGCUCCAGGGGCCCCUUCACUCAAGUCUAUGAGCAUAUGUCAGUGGAGAUGAAAGGUGGUUUUACAUCUUUAUGAUUUUGCCUUAAAACAUUUUCCGUGACUGAUUAUUGCCAUAAUAGUAUAAAAUAACCACUGUGACAUUUUAAAACCUAUAAAAAUAAAAUUUUAAUUAAAAAAAUUCAACUCUCCUUCCCCAGCUCAACUUGAAGCAGGAUGUCUGGUCUGGGAACUGAGUUUCCUGUGCUCUGCACUAGGCCACACACGGGGGGCAGGCGGGGGGACACCAUACUGUACUGCUCUUGGAUCCUCACUGAGUAGCUAAGGAAUGGUCUGAGCAUCAACUGGGUAUAAGGUUUCUGAGCACAAUGGACUGCACAGAUGUCUAGGUCCUGGAUGUGGCAGAGACUGAAGGAGAGAAGAGCUCAGGAGCCAUUGUACCCUGCCUGAGGAUUUUGUCUUCCCAGUCAAGCCUCCCAUCAGCCCCUGUUGACAACACCCCAGAAAGCUGAAGAACAGAAAUGUUUUCCUCUGCUCCUGUCUCCUGUUGCUUUCCAGUGCUCCUUCUUAGUGGAGCAAUGAUGAAAGUAUUUGCAUAACUUUUUUUUUUCAGGAGAGACACAUGAAUCAUUGAUGACAUAUUCAUCUCUGUCAGAGUCCCUGGGGCCCUGGGAAAAUGGGGACUGAUUAAACUUUCCCCUGUACUCUUGUUGGAAAAGCUUGAAGGAUCUUUCAAAACAUGUUACCUGCACAUCUCUGUCAUUUGUAAGACCUUAUCUCAAAAAAAUUGCGGACUGGAUGGACAAAUAAAUGCCCACAGACACUGACACACUUGCACAUGCAUGCUCUCUGCCGUGGUUUGAUAUAGGUCUGUGUGCCGCCCACAGGUCCUACAUAACAUCUUCUUCUUCAGUGUAGUGGUAUUGCAGAUGCUGUGGACUUUGAAGGGCUGGGGCCCAGUGGGAGGUCCUUAGGCCACAGAAGGAUUUGGAGGCAUGGUCUCCAAUCUCUCUCUGCUGAUGGUGAUGUAAUAGGUCAGCUCUGCCACAUGCUCACACCAUGGCAGGCCACCAUCCACUCUCCUCAUGAGAACUGAGAUGAUACAGGUACAGGCUUUGGACCCUCCCAAACUGUGACCUGAAUAAAUCUCUUAAAGCAUAAGUUAGUUACCUCAGGUAUUGAACUGCACUAAUAUGACAAACACUGAUACGCCCUCAACUGAGUCAUUCUCAAAACAGGCAUACUCUUUUAUUACUUUAUUCUUGUUUUUAUUUUUAUUUUUAAAUCAGAUGGUGCUGAACCACUGAGCUACACCCUCUUUUAAAUUUUAAUUUUAUGACAGUGUCUCACAAAUUUCACAGGCUGGCUUGAACUUGCCAUCCUCCUGCCUCAGCCUGCCGAGUAGAUGGGUUGAUAGGAAUAUACCACCAAUCUGGCUCACACACAUGUACACUUGAAACUUAAUUUUUGUUCAGCAUUAUAUUGUGAAUAUUUCCAUGUUGUGAGGAAGUAUUACAGUAAAUUAUCUCCAGAUUACAUGAAAAAGAUCAAAGAUUCCAAACUUUGAAAGAAUACUAAAGUGGUGACUAUAGAACUAAUUAGUUCAGUCUUUUGUCACAUUUGUUUUAGAAUGAACAAAUUAUAGUUAUAUAAUUCUUGCUGACACCCUAGAAAAUCAAUCAUUGUGACAUUCAUUCCUAAGUAAAUCAGUGCUUAUCUCUUAUAAAAUGACAUUCUUCUUUCAACACCAAUAUUGUUAUGACACUAAGGAAAAUUGCUGUAUCCUUCUAAUAUUAGCCAAUGUCAAAUGGUAUAAAAUUUGCCUAAUUACAACUCUCCUCAGUUAGGAAUGAAUCAUGGACAGCCUAGCCAACCUACACUCUCAGACCCUCCACCGAAUCUACAGAGGACAAGAAAGGUUCCACAUAGCACCAAGACCCAACAACACCAAACACAUCUCCAUUCACAGAGAAAAGGCCCAGACCCACCUGUUCCCACACCUACCCCUCGUGCAGCCCAGCUGUCUGUCCUGAAUCCACCAGGACUAACCUCUUGUGUCCUUUCCCUGUCAGGUUAGUCAUGCUAGGUCUCCUUCAAUGUCCUGUAGUGUUAUCCUCAUGAGGCUCUGCAUAUUCCUGUCCUGUCUCUUCUCCUGCCAUCUCCCCAACUCCUGGAAUCUUUCCAAGUCACCCCUUGGAAUCUCAGCUUAUAAAAAACAAACCUGCAAAGUUCUCUCAGGACGUCCUUGCCUCCCAGAUCUAACAUAAAUGUGGUUUCCAGGAGAACAUGGGACCUCUGAAAUCUCUUCUCAUUGGGGUUUCCCUGAGGACCAUGUACAGCAUCUGGGGUGGGGUCCUUCCUCCACACUGAGGUUCUCAGAUCUUUCAGCUCCCUCUUCUCAACAUCCACUAGUCUUCCCAAUAUCCACUGCCUACCAACUCUCCUCAUGGUGGGCACUCCCAGGCCCCCCAGUCAAUUUCCCCAUCUCUGCACUCUUGGCUUCUCCUUGUUCCUCACCCUCUCAGAAAUGCUAUCUCCUUACUCCUCACUGAUUUCAACACAAGAAGAUGUGGGGACUGAAGAAUGGUCCCUAUAGAUGCUCACACCCUAAUCUUAGAAGAGUGAGGAUGUUGUAUUAUAUGGCAAAGGGGACAUUACUGAUGAAACUGAGGUGACAAUGUGAAAAUGGGGAGAUUGUAUUGGAUACUCUGGGUCACCCAAUCAAAUCACAGUAAGACUUCCAAGCUGUGACCCUUCUCUGGCUGGAGUCAGAGAGACACUACAAGAGACGCAGGUGGAGGAGAUGUAGCAGAGGGGACUUCAGAGGUUCCAGUGGAAGAAGGAUAAGAUGUGCUGUAGGGGGCACAUAUGGACCUGAGAGAGGGCUCCAGGAGCUAAAAGUGGUACCUGAAUGACGGUUAGCAAGGAGAUAGGGACUUAAUUUUCAAACAACUUUAUUGAUCCUGGAAGCAGAUUCCUUAUCAAAGCCUCCAGUAAGGAACAAAGACCUGCUGUCACCUUGGCUUUAGCUCUGUGAGCCCCGCAGGGGACUUGGAACCUACAUAACAGGAGGUCAUAAAUGGAGCUACAUAAAACCACUUGGGUUGUGGUAAUUUCUGUGGCUCUGUGACCUCUGUUUAGACUGGGAAAACUGAUGUCCACCCCUCAGCAGGUGGUCAUGACAUAGAUGCUCAAGAAGACAAUGGAGGAUGAGGCUGAGGGAAGAGGGCGUGUGGAAUAGAGAGAUUCUGUGAGGUCACAAGCCCCCUCAGAGAGUGAAAUUCCAAAUGUCCAAGAGGACACUUUCACUAAAGCUCACAGGAAUAUGCUGGUGACAAGGGCCUGCUUCACUAAAAAGGUGGGUAUUUUCCUAUUCAAGCUGGAAUGAGGGUGGGGAAGGGGCUCAUUCAUAUUCAUAGGGAGGGUUUGGUCCUGAAAGGUCAGAAGAUCAAGUAGUGACAGUUAAUCAGCACUGACCAGAGACCAUGCCCACCACAGCAACCCCAGAGCAGCAGUCAGGGGUGCUCUGAUCUGCAAGGGGCUGUGGAAAUUUGUGGAAUUUUAUGUCCCUAGGGUCAAACAGAUAGGUGUCAGACAGACGACCAGUAAGCACCCUUCUCAAUAUCAGCAAUAAACAUAAAACUGUGGAGCAGGAGGCUGAAAGUGUUUGAACCAAUAAGUCUUGAUUCCAUUCUCAAUUCUGAGCCAAUUUUCAGAUUCAGAACCCAGUGACUGAAGAUGUGUCCACAUCAAGGGAAGAAAGAACCUAGGACACCAUGACAAGGACAUGUGACCAUGAUUCCCUCAGUCCUUCUGCCAAGGAAUCAUCAUUAUAUCAGGAGACUUCAUGAAGAGAGAGAAACAGGCAGGAGGCUGGGGAGUGUCAUGCACUGGGAUUGAGUAGACACCAACACCCACAUACCCACAGCCUCACCAUCCCUCCCUCUGUGAUGCAGUGUUAAGAGUCUGGACUGGAUGCACAUCCCAUAGAAUAUGAAGUCAGUUCAUUUCAUCCCACAUCAUGCUGCCUGGGAUGGAUGAGCAAGAGGGGGAAAGUGCCCUGGAGCUCUUGAUGAGGCACACGCACCUCAGAAAGUGGAAGAUAAAAUGUUCAGAGAUUCAGGAGUGGCCCCUUCAUUGUGAUUACACGUCCAGCUGUUAAAGACAAGCAGAGAUGUCCCCUCCAUGGUACUGGACCAGCUGCUGCACCUGGCACCUCUCACUGCAGGGAAGGAAGCAGGCAGCCUGCAACUCUUUGGGUUCUGACAACAUCACCUUCUACACUGAGGCACAAUGUUUGUGCCAUAUAUUUGGUGACAUAAUAGGCCAGCUUCAUGUGGAACCUGGACAGGAAUGGACACUAUUAUAGUUCUAGGCCAUGAUGGUAUCAGGCACCACCCCUCAGACUCCACUGCUAUGGGGGUAUCAGUGGUGUGAGAGGUGCAGGAUGGAGCUGACCCAAGCACAGGGUGAGAAACACUAUCAAGGGCCCUGGAGUCUGAGGGAGGCCAUACCUUCCACACCCAGAAAUGUGCCCCUCUCAGUAAUGAGCUUUUGUGAGUUACUAGGCCUGGUGAAGUUUGACCAUGGGACACUAAAGAACACUGGAGUGAUGAUAGCCAACAUGGACUGGGCUCUGUGGAGCUCACUACGUCACAACCUGGACAUGGAAAUGGCACAUCUGAGCUUGAGCCUGAAUCACAUGCAGAAAACCAUCACACUGAAGUGGCUAUGAACAGCCAAGUAGACAAAUGGACAGGAUCCAACUGUUAUAAUUUGGGUCUUGAGUGUCCUAAAGGCACAUGAGUUACAGACUUGUUCCCCUGGUGGAACCUCCAGGAUGUAGAUCCUACUGGAAGGAAAUGAAGACCCUGGGUGUGUGUCAUUGAAGGGGAUGUUGGGAUCUGGCCCCUUCCUGUCUUUCUUUUUGCUUUCUAGCUGCCAUGAGGGGAUCAGCUUCCUCUGCUAGGGGCUCCCCAUGUUCAUGUUCUCUCUCACAACAGGUCCCAAAGCAACAGAGCCUUCUGACCAGGGACUGAAAGUUUUGAAAUAGUGAGCCCAAAUAAACCUUUCCUCCUUUUAAGUUGGUUGUCUC
This 66689-nucleotide long non-coding RNA is filed under the name Marmota monax (woodchuck). The stretch from base 42941 to 43008 matches the Rfam family "tRNA". The record is from RNAcentral. Lineage: Eukaryota; Metazoa; Chordata; Mammalia; Rodentia; Sciuridae.